ACGGCAACACUGAGAACUGCGUGCUGUGCGGUGUGGGCGGCAGCCUCAUCUGCUGCGACCGCUGCCCCGCGGCCUACCACCUGCGCUGCAUCGGCCAGACGGCGCACAGCAUACCGGACGGAGAUUGGCUGUGCCCCGAGUGCGCAGUCGGCGGAAGGGGUAAGAGCCGGAAAGGGGGAAUGCACGCGCGCAGAUGUAUGUGCGUGUGGGUGUUUGUGCUCUCAUUAUGUGCGCCCAUGUCUCUGUCCGUGUCUGUCUGUCUGUCUGUCUGAGUACAAGCGGCGUGUUGAGGGGCAUGGCUGGUGAGCGGCUGGCGAUCUCCGCCUGUCUUCCCGCUUCGCUGCUUUCCUUCGCCAGGGUCCGGACCGGGCGCCCCACCUCGCCUCCUUGCAUACCCCUCCCACCGGCCUCACUUAGCGACCGCUCAUCGACCUCUAAUCAUCCAUCCUCUCCCAGCUCUUUAUGUACAUGCAAUUCGCGUAUGUGUAUAUUUUGCCAUAGCUGUUCUUCAAAGCACCGCACACACAUAUCGUGUACAAAUAUGCGUUCAAGAGGCGCUCCGCCAGCAUGUUGAGAGGCCUUUUCAGCGGGAGGCCAGCUACUACAGUAUCGAUGUGGUUCAUGUGUCCCCCGUCCCGCUCCCCCUCAUUGGCAGGGGAGUCAGCCGGGCUGCGUGUGCCCAUCACGGGCCUCAGCCUCCUGACGGGCAACCCCACCUGGGUGGCGUACGGGUACGCCUUCCCAGCGCAGUGCCUGCCCGCGCCACGAGGCGGGGGAAGUAGCGGCACCAGCAGCAGCCUCAAUCCCUUCGCGGCGCUACUGCCCCCGGAUGCGGAGUUCCACGGCUUCCGGUUGCUGGUGGGGGACGAGGCCCAGCGGGACGUGGCGGGGCUCCGCAGGUGGGUGGUGUGUGGUGGCGGGAUGUGGUGGCGGUAGGUAGCGAUACAGAUAGACCUAGGACAGGGUAGGACUGAGUGGAGUGGAGUGGAGCACGGCUAGAAAUAGAGGUCACCUUCCGGGUCUGUCUGCUUCGCGCAGUGUCGAGUGUAUGAUCGUCCCAGGGCCAUACCGGCCAUACUCGGUAGCAUGGGGGAGGGCAUGUGGGGGUUUUCUCACCUCGCCGCUACUUCCUAAGGCGCCCUUUUCACUGUCCCCCCACCCCGGCGGAAGGGUCGCGAGUGCGGGAGGGAGGGCCUCGGGACUAGCUAAGCUAGGCUAAGCUGUUCUCUGGUCCUUUCUCCUCCUCCUCCUCCUCCUCAUCUCCUCAUCAGCUUUCUCCCUCCUAACCCUAGGGCGUCGACUUGCUGCUGCGGAAACAAGUGCUCACUUUUGCAUCUCACAUAAAUGUCCUCUACUUCUCUCUUAACUCCUCCAUACACCCCUCCUUGUCCUUGUCCUCGUUCUUUUCCUUCGCAGGCCUCGCCGCUGGCCUGAGGACGUGCCCCACCCCUCCUCCACCGUCGACCUCCUGACCGGGCCGAAGUCGGGGUGCAAGUCCGGACCCGCGGACCCCACUUCCUACGAGAACAGGUGCGUGGUGAGGGGUCUUACCUUAUUGAAACACCCUAGGGGGCCGCUCUGUAACUGUCAUACUGUAUGUUGCUCUGUCCCGAACCCAAGUGGGUUUCCCUCUCAGCUUUUUAUAGCGAAAAUGAUAAUGGUGUUGUUGAUGAUGAUGUUGAUGAUGAUGAUCCUCCCAAAUCCGUAGAAGCCUAGCGGCUCGGCAGUUCGAUGUUGGCGCAGAGGGCUGCUGCCGUGAGGCAUGUGGCAUGUGUCGGCCUGCCUGCCGAAAAUAAGAUUAGGUGUUUGGGGAUGGAGGGUAUAUUUGUUGCCGUACUGACCAGUACUUUACUUUCCAGUGGUCGUACCGCGGACCUUUGUUAUUUUCCAGGGUCCUGUUUCCGAUUUGCUUUGUCUGUCUGUCUAUCUGUCUGUCUAUCUGUCCGCUACUGCAUUCCCGGUGAUGCAGGUAUCGCUCCGCCUGGCAGACGUACGUGCAAGCCAUGAAGGUACGUGAUAACGGUACGGCUGUACUACGGUAAUGGGGUGACUCACCCGCGGUGUGCGUCACCUGUACUGUACCCCCAUCUUCUCCUUUCUCCUCCCUCCCUCCUUUCCCGCGCCCUCCUGCACCCACAAAACAAUUCGAGUCAUCCGCGAGCACCUUGUUCUGGUCGGUCAACGUUAAACAAAUUUUGAUGUGUAACUGGUUGCUUAGGUUUUUGUUGGUGAAUUGUUUCCCUCGCUCUCCACAGCUGCCCUGCCCUGCCCCACCACCUCCUCCCCUCACCCCUUCCCUCCUCCUCCCGCCCUUGCCGUCUCAGGCCGCGCAUGAGGUGGAGUACAAGAAGUCCAAGAGGGCGGGCGCCACUCCCGCCUCGGCCCUGGCGGUGCCGCUGCCGCUACCCACAUUCUCCUGGCCCACAUUUCAGGUGGGGUGUUCAGGGCGGGGGGAAAGCGGGGAUUGCUCGAGGACGCGGGAAACCUGCUGUGCGCAUCCAUCCAUCCACCCAUCCAUCCAUCCUUUUAUACGUCCAUCCACUCCCCGGCUGGUCGUAUAUCGUGAAAGGAGGUGUGCUCCUUCGGCGACCUGGCGCCGCGUGGCGGUUGCUUCAUAUGCUCUUGUGAUGCUCACAGGCCUUUACGCGGCGACACGUGCUUCACGCCUUAAGAGGCCCGGAGCGGUCCGCUAAGACCGCCUCCACCGCACCGCACCGCCAUACGCAGCCUUGCGGUUUUAACCUUUUAAUCGUCACUGCCUUUUUGCUUCGGCUCGUUCCUCCUUGUGCAGGGUCGUGGCGUGGUUUCGGUGCCGUGUGGUUUGUGCCGCAGCUGCACCACCUCCCUCAAGCCCGGUCGGCCGUGUCUCAAGCCGCUGCUGGUGGACGAGGGCGCCAGUACGGCGGCGGAGCUGCCGCAGACAGGUCGAUUGGCGGUGCUGCAGGUGGGUGAGGGGGUGUGCGGAGCGCGUCAGUGCCCCCCUGUGCGGCCGGAAGCAGGGGAGGUGGAGCCGAGAGGCAGGGCAGCUGCCCGACAGGAGAGAGCGUAGCGGAGAUGCGCUGGGGUUGGAACGGCGGGGGGGGGGAGAAGAAGAGAGACCUGGGGGCGGGGCCCUUGGCGUUCAUGUUUGUCUGGGUUCCAUUUCGUAACCUGUAAACCUAGGGGGCCCUACGAACCCGCUCACCCCUCCACACACACACACACACACACACACACAGGAGCUACCCACCUCAAGGUAAUUGUUUCCAUCUAAAGGUUGUUUAUAUUCUAAUCUGAACCUCUCAGCAAAGUGUGCUUUGGGGGGUCGGUCGGCAUUUGUUUCCUUGACUUUUGCUGGUACUACCACUCACACGGUUAUUCUCCAUCCAACGUCGAGUCCGACCCCGACCACCUGCCCUGCUGCUGCAGCACUACUUGCUUCGCACGGAGCAGGAGCUGUGGGGGUUGCUUGACGGCGGUUGGGCGGGAGGCGGCGGUCGGGGGCUGGAGUACCGGCGGCAGUGGAUGCGGGCCGUCUCUUCGGCGGGGACACCCGAGCAGCUGGCGCCGAGGUUCUUGGAGCUGGAGGCGGCCCUGAGGAGGUGAUGCGGCCGGGCGGGCGGAUUUAGGGGCUUGGAGACUGAGGGAAGUAGGGACGUAGAGGCUUAGAGACUGAGGGAAGUAGGGGCGUAGAGGCUUAGAGACUGAGGGAAGUAGGGGCGUAGAGGCUUAGAGACUGAGGGAAGUAGGGACGUAGAGGCUUAGAGACUGAGGGGUUUAGAGACUGAGGGGUUUAGAGACUGAGGGGGAAAUUGCCUUUGACCAGCCAGCUGUGGAUGUGGGUGUUUGGUCGCAGGAGUACUGUCGCGCGUUCGUUAGGUACAGCGGGGAGUCAGCUCUCCCCCCGUCUUGGCCGACGUCCCACGGGCUUUUCGCUUUCAGUACCUUGAGUACUUUCCUUUCCCGCACGUCCCUCUCUUCCCCCCUCCUGUCAUGGCGGCCGCCCAUGUGCUGUCUGUCUGUCUGUCUGUAACAUGCGAAAGCGUUAUAUGCGGCGGGGAUGCAAUUCCUGCCACGAGGGGAGGGGGCCCUCCGUUGGCAUUUGGGGAAAUUUUUACCUCGCGAUCGUAACGCCGGUUGCGCUGGCGGUUGGCGGUUGGCGGCUGUCCUGCAGGUCGCUUCCCAUCUUCACGUUGCAGUGGGACCCGUACCGUCGGGACCCGGCAGAGCUGGCGGUGCUGGAGAACAUGGCGGCGGACCGGCGGCGUGACGCCGACUCGUACCGCCGCCGCCGCAUCACCAGCAUGCUGCCGCCGCCCAAGAAGGGCCCCGGUAGGCCGCCGCGGAAGAAGAUCUCCCCGCACCUGCAAGCGUGGAAUGAGCUGCGGUCGGCGCAGGCGGCGGCGGCCCGCGCCUCCGCUGCCUCGGCUGCCGCCACCGCGAUGCCGGACGACGGCGGCACUGAGGGCGGCAACAGCGAGAUGAUGGGGGAUGAGGGCGGCGAGUCGGAGGCGGUCGGCCGGCAGCGCGAUGGCGACGGCGCGGAAGGUACGAACACGACCUGACCGAACACGACGUUCUUUUUCCCUGGAUUUCAUUUUCGGGGUUAAAUACCCCGGUCUGAACGGUUAGAGGGAUUGUUGCCGUUGCGGACCCCCCUUUGAGGGGUUGCGGCUGUAUCCUCAGGGUCCUGAUCCAUCAAAAGUGGAGGGGAGGGGACCGGAACGUCAAGUAAAGAACAACACCAAGGGCUGGGACACCUUUCUUUUCUAUUAUUGUUGUUGUUAUUAUUAUUAAAUUAAAUUAUUAUUAUUAUUAUUUAAAGUAUUGCUUCGGUAUUCUUAAGCUACUUUUUCCGUUUUGAUCGUGCUGGGUUUUCCGGGCCCUGCCUUCACUCCUAGGACUUCCUAACCUUCCUCCCUCCACCUCUCCUCAGGCGGAGAUGACGACGGGCUGACGGAGGCGGGCGACCUCCCCAGCCAAUCGGGACAGAGGGGGGGCACCCCCCUGGAUGACUCCCAACAACAACAACAACAACCUCAGAUGCAGACUCAGCAGCGGAGGCCGCCGCGGCGCUCCGGAACCGCCUCCGAGCAGCAAACACCCCAGCAGCACCUGCAGCAGCAGCAGCAGUUCGGGGGCCAGGACAGCGACAACGAGGGAAUGGAGGGCGGGGAGGGCUCGGUCAUGGUGGGAGGUAGUGGGGGAGGAGGAGGAAGAAGAGGGGGAGAUGCGGGUUCAGUGCAGCGGUUGUCGCGGCGGCGGCAGCGUGGCGGGUCGGGGGAGGGUGCUGGCGGAGGCGGUGGCGGCGGGGCAGGACCGUCAGCAGGCAGCCGUGGCGGUGAGUUAACAGGUACCGGGCCACCCAGUGGCGCUCUUCCUGGUGCGGUCCUUACCCUUCCUGCGGUCCUAUCACGGAAGUUUCUUUUUCCCGCCUUCCUUCCCUCCGUUCCUGGCAGCAGCUUCACUCGUUCGUGGUUCGUCUUUCCCUCCCUUCCUGCUAGGACUUAGGACGCCUUCCGGCAGUUCAUUUCUGGUUUCCUUGCUGCAUAUGAUUUCCCCUCUAUUGCCUCCUGCCGCCCGCCGGCGGUACCCGUUCUCGCGUUGUGGUUAGACAUCGCCAGUGCAAAACCACAUGCCCGGUCUCCGCCGUACCUCCUCAGCUGUACCUCUUCCUCACGUCUUUCACGAAGCUGCAGUCUACUUCCGUUGACUGGACGUGAAUUGUGUGUGUUGUAUGUGUAUGUGUAUGUGUGUCUCGCCCUCCGUCGCUCUCCCCUUCUUCCUUCGCCAUCACUAUCAGCAUCAUUAUCACCACGAUCAUCGUCGUGACCAUCAUGACCAUCAUUAUCAUCCUGCAUCUCGCGAGCUAUUCUUCUCCCCAUCGUGCUGUUUCCCUCCGUCUCACACACCCAACCCAUAUGUGUGUAUGUGCCGCAGCCGCAGCCCCGGGCAGCCAGCCCGACCCCGACAUGCCUCGUCCGCCCGGGCUGGAGGGCGAGCUGGUGCUGGAUAAAUGGUAGGAGGAUUCCGGUUGGGUGGUUGCGCCCGUCCUUCCCCCCUCCCCCCCCACACACAUGCCGUUCCCCUCGCCGUUGCUACUCAUACAUCCGCUUAUCGAUAGCAUCUUCUUAAAUCGUCAGUGGCUCGUCUUACCCCUAUCACCAUCCGCCCCUACAACCGUGCGGUCCCCAGGUGGCGCGAGCUGUUGGCCUCCUACGGCGAGGUGGACGCAGUGGACCUGCUGGGGGCCGCGGCUGCCAUGGGACUGGGGAGUGACAUCCUAGGGCCCCCGGACAGGCGGCUGGCGCUGCGUAAGGCCCGCACCGGCUGGUCCUGGUGGCGCCCCGUGACGCUUCGGGCGGAGGGCUACUUGGUGCUGCCCAGGGCUAUGGCGAGGUCGCUAGCACGCAAAGGCGGCACCACACCGCUGAACCAGGUAGUUUCGGAGGGGGGAAAGGAGAGAAGGGGGAAAAGGCGGGGUACGGGUGUGGGGUGUAUGAUGGCUGGUGCUAUGACUUUGCAGUUGCUUUUUAGGCCCUUUGGCUCUCACGAGAAGUGCAGCUGUCCUUGUCGAGCCCUCCGGCCCCGUGUCCUUUUGUUUUUUUGGCUUUCUCGCUUAAGUACUCCUCGUAUUCCUUCUCCCCGCCCCCGUGUCGUAUACAAGAUCCCCCUCACCCGUUCGCUCCUCCCACCGGCAAACACACGCACGCACACGCACAGGGCGUCAUCUACCACACCAACCUGCGUCACAACAUGUCGCAGCGUCUCAGCUGGAUAUCGGUGACGGAGAACGCCUCGUCCAUAGCGCAACUGGCGGUGCAGGUGCGACAGCUGCUAAAGGGCAUGGGCCUGGGGGUUGGCGGGUUGUGGGGGGUGGGACGGGGGCCAUUGUGCAGGGGGCUAGGGGGGGACCGCGCACGAGUUAGCGAUGUCCCCCCGUCUUAAAAAGAGGCCCUGGACGGCAAAGCCACGGCCCACGGAAAUACACGUGCAGGAGAGAGGAUGUGGGGUCCUCUCUCCCCUCUCCAGCCGGGGGCUGCGGCAGUCGACCGUGACGGGUCGCCAGUCGGGGGAGGAAGUAGCACCGCCUGAUGGCAGCAACACCCAACAAGAAAAAAUCACUCAGGCCCCCAGCAACUUCGUGUCCGUGUCCCUCAUUUCACAUGCCUCCCCCGGACCGUGAGAGAUUUCUCCGUUGUGAAACCCUUUUCAUGACCUGGCAUCAUGACUUGCUUUUGUUGUAUGCAUGUAGUGUUGCUUCCGCCGUGUACUGUUCCUCUUUGUCCUGAUUACGAUGCCUGCACAACUAGGAUUUUUAUCAUUUUUUAUACGGCGUGUUGCUUCCGCCAUGUACUGUCCUCAUUGUCCUCACCCAACAACCCGCUCUAAAAAAACGUACUCCUAAAAAGGCCGCUCCUUGACGCUUCGCAUUUUCCAUAAGGCCCGCGUGCUGGAGGACGCCAUCCAGUGGGACCGCAUCCGGCGACCCCCCUCAGCGGCGGCGGCGGCGGACGACCCCUCCGCCGCAGCGGCCGCCUCCAUGAUUCCCCCCGAGUACGGCCCCUUCGUCAACUGCAUCGUACUGGCCAAGCGCCUAGUGGAUCUAGGGCGCCGGUGAGGGCGGGCGAGGCGGGAGGUGGGAGAGACCUAUCAGCCUGCAAAGGGGGGGGGCCCGCUCAGCCACCUCCGCCCUAGUUCCAAAAAGGGUACCAUAGAGCUACAGCUCAUACAUAUCAUGGAUUUGGAGUCAGGCAGUGUCCGGCAGGUUCUCCCGGCGGGCUGCAUCCGCACGUGUGUGCACAACGGGCACCCUCAUUCCCUGAACCCCGACCCCCCACACCCCCUUUCCCCACCCUUUCCCCACCCUUUCCCCACCCCACCCCACCCUUUCCCCACCCCACCCCACCCUUUCCCCACCCCACCCCACCCCACCCCACCCACCCCCACCCCACCCCACCCCACCCUACCCCGGGCCCCAGGGUGGAGUACCUGCUGGCGCCCGAGGGCGGUGCGGAGGCGGCCCUGCUGGGUCAGGCCACCCACCCACCCGGCUGGCAGCAGAAGCAGCUGGGAGGAUUCAAAAUACUCACACCGGCGGCAGGUGGGUGGCUGACUGGCUGGCUGACUGGUCAUUACAGCUGGGUUGGGGAGUGGCCAGCAGCAGCACAUACACAUGCACGUACACAGUUAGACCCCCGCGAAUCGCUCUGCUCAGGGCGAACAAGAGCGCCGCUCCACGGCGUUGAGACUGAGGGCGCAAGGAGGGGGCUGCUCUCCGUUGGCAGAACGUUGGCAGUCCCUUAGUAACGAUAGCAGCAGCAGCAACACCAGCUGCAGGUACACGGCAGCACAUCCCACUGACAUCCCGUUUUCUAACGGCCGCUCCUACACCGACCCCCCGACCAUCUCCCGCGUUCUCAAGCACCGAAGUUCCCAACCCCCGGUAAAACGUCGUAGGUCUAUCUCGCUGGGUGGAGGAGAGCUCCGUGCCUCUGUGGCUGCUGAGGGCCUUCGAGGAGCGCCUGCGUAACGCCGCGUACCGGCAGUGCAUCAACGGCGGACCGGCAGGACCCGCACCGCCGUUGGAAGGUGUCGCUCGCGUUCUGAUUGGGGACGGGGGAAGCAGAAUUUGAUUGACUUAGACACCACCACUAGGUCGCCGCGGCCCCGCACCAGGUCUCCCACCAACCCCAUUCAAACACGGGAGGAAAGCAACAUAAUACAGACGAACAUACAGGCAACAAGGACAGUCCCUCCUUCCCGUCGCUUUUCUCAGGUCCUCCCUGCAAAUGGCGACGUCUGAAGCACGCACACCCACACUGGGAAGGGAGAACCCUAGGGGGAGAGGCGGAAUUCCCUACGGACGGCCUGCUUUAUGCUUUCGUUCGUAUCACCACCCGCACCUGAUCAUUUGUGUUUCCGUGCUGCUGCUUAUUCACCUGUUUCCUAAAGCUUACUUUGUUUGUUUUCGUGUUACAGCCGUAUGACCUUAUCGACCCUGCGGAAUGGUGGUUGUUGUGCCUGGGGGCUGGUCGCAGGUGACGCAGGGGGGGAUGCCGCGGAGGCGGCCAACCGGGGGGCCGGCGGCGGCGGCGGCGGCGGCGGCAGUAGCUGUCGCAGUAGCAGCACCUGCCUGGUGUGUGGUCUGUCGCGCUCCGACACCGCCUUCGCGGCCCUGACGGCCGGCGGCGGCUGGGUGUCUUGCGCGGGUGCAUUCGGCUCCUGCUCCACGGGGUGCCACGCGGCUUGUCUGGGCGCGACUGAUCCCGGCAACCGAUCCAAGUGGAUGUGCCAGUGAGUUCAGUGGAGUGUGUAGGUCGUAUGGGGGGGGAGAGGAGGUGGGGCCUGGAGGGAUGUGGUGGGUACGUGGGGGAGCUCCUGGGUUGGGGGGAUCUUGCCCUUAGCCAGCUUUUACAGAAUUUCCGGAUUGAAAUUUGUGAAUGUGUGAAGUGGACUCGUUUGAUGUUGGAGCAUUUUCCCGAAUCAAAAUGCCAUUCUGUUAGGUGAAUUUGGCACCUUCGGUCGUUACUGCUGUUGCCGCUGCUUACCCGGCAGCUGCUGCGGCAGGUACUGCGACUGCGACUGCGACUGCGACUGAUUGUUAUUCCGUAAACUGUUGCCGCCGCUGUGGCUGCCGAACCACAUGCGAUAGCACCAUGUUUUAAAUGUUGUUGGGCGAACAGUUUCGUUGCUGUUGUUAAUUAGCUGCGGGGCUGCGGUUGCUGCUACUGCUACUGCUGUUGCUGCUGCUACUGCUGCUGCUGUGGCUGUUUCCUCACCACCACUUCUGCUGCUGCGGCUGCUGCUGCUAUCGCUGCUCUCUGGCGCGGUGGCCAGGCGUUGCGCCAAUGAGAUGCUCACCCAGCGGCAGGCGGCGGUGGACAAGUACGUGGCGAGGCGUACGGCACGUGGCGCCAUGGCGGUGUCACUGACGCCACGUCAGCUCCUGGAGCAGGCUCUGGCGGAUGCGGCGGCGGUGGCGGCGGGCCUCAACCCGGAUGGCGGCGAGUUCCCGGCGCUUGGCGGCGCUGGCAGAGCGGGGUCCGAGGAGGGUGAGGGCGAUGGGGAGAUGGGGGAGUUGGGCGGCGGCAGGACGGGGCGGGGCCGUGGUCGCGGUCGUGGCCGGGGCCGCUGGGGGCGCGGCCGGGGACGCAGCGCCGCGGCGGCGGCGGGCGACGGCGCGGACGGCAGUGGCAAUGCCGACUUGCGGCGCGCUGAGGAGGUGACGGAGGCGGAGCAGCGGCGGGGUCCCGCGGAGGGCGGCGGUGACGGCAGCGAGCUGUACUGCAUCUGCCGGAGCCCCUGGGAGCCAGGCACGGUAGGUGGUGUGUUCGCCGCGCACAUUCUAUACCGUGUUCCGUAUCGGCUUCACCUACAGCCCCUUGCCUGCCCGCCUCCAUCCGCCAUCUCCUCCCUUCUCCAUUUCCCCGUCCUUUCCAUGUCCUCCGUUUCCCUGCCUCUCCGCACCCAACCGCGCUGUGCGAGCACCUGGUCCUCCUCGGGUUCCGCGUCGGGCUCACCUGGUUCGUUUCUUGCAGGUUGUGACGAAGGAUGCUGUCCGUUUGCGUUUGCAAUAGUGCGUGCGUGCGUGCCGGGCGCAAACCCCUCUGCCUUCCCCGCCCCGCCCCAACAACUCACGCAGUGGCUUCUUGCUUUCCUUGCACGUUGUUUCCCCUCUCCCACCACACCCUCAUCACACACACACAUACACCCGCAGGAUGUCUUGUGCUGCGACACGUGCGAGGGCUGGUUCCACCCCUCUUGUUGCGGCAUCAGUGCAGAGGCGGUGACCACUGCGGUGGGUGCCUCCCUGGGCAGGGGGGGCCUGGGCAGGAGGGGCCUGGGCAGGAGGGGCCUGGGCAGGAGGGGUCUGGGCAGGAGGGGUCUGGGCAGGAGGGGUCUGGGCAGGAGGGGCCUGGGCAGGAGGGGCCUGGGCAGGAGGGGCCUGGGCAGGAGGGGCCUGGGCAGGAGGGGCCUGGGCAGGAGGGGCCUGGGCAGGGGGGGCCUGGGCAGGAGGGGUCUGGGCAGGAGGGGCCUGGGCAGGAGGGGUCUGGGCAGGAGGGGCCUGGGCAGGAGGGGUCUGGGCAGGGCAAGAGCGACUGCGAGUGGGUGGUGCUGUCUUUGGCCCCCUGGAGGGACCUCCCGCUGUCCAACCAUAUUGUGAUAUAGAGGUAUGGGUGGGGGUGUAUGUGUGAGAGAGAACGAGAGAGAGGAGUCCGCCCGCUCCCACCCAUCUUACUGCCCAACCCGCCGUAAACUCUGCCCCUCCUCCUCCUCCUCCUGUUGGCGGUAUCCCCAGGCUGCGGAGGGCUGGUCGUGCCCGCUGUGCGAGGCAGCCGCCUCGGGGACCCCCCUCCGGCCCCUCCCCGCCACCGGCUACCCCCCGCAGCAGGCCUUACCCCAGCAGCCCCAACUCCAGCUCCAGACUCAGGCCCAGUCGCAGUUCAUGUCGCAAGGGUACCAGCAGCAGCUGUCUCCGGAAAGUGCGAAGAGGCGGCGACUGGAAGGUGACGUAGCGGGGCCGGGGCUGGGGGAUGGCUUCCCAGACGAUGUCGGAGCGGACCGCAGCACUAGGGGAAUGCCCGGCAGCGACGCGGCUGGCAAGCCGCCUGCUGGGGCAGCGGCGUGUCGCUUCGCGGCCGUCGUGUUGUCACGUACGCGCCAAGGGCUGACGGACGUGGGUGGCGUGGAGCGAGUAUGGCGUGGCGGCGGCGGCUGGCGUGGCGGCGGCAGGGGUGGCCGCGGCCGCGGCGGCCGCGGCACGAUGGGCCCUGGCAGCGGCGGCAAGUCCCGCAGCGGCCGGCGGGCGACGUACGACUCGGAGGAGGGCGAGGACUCGGACGGCGGCGGCGAUUCGAGCGGUGAGUGCUGGAGGGCGGGAUGACGGAGGGCUUUGGAAGAAGGCCGGCGUUCGGGGUGGGAGGUAGGGUAGGAGGUAGGGUGGGAGGUAGGGUAGGAGGUAGGUGGAGGGCUUCCCUUUCGUCUCCUCUGAAGAGUCCAGGGCGCUGCUUCUGUGGCUUCUGCCACGCGACUGUCGAACAGCGUUAAGGGAUGGGUGUGGUGUUGCAUGCAGGGUAGGUGUUGUAGGUUUGCUUGGGGGGCAGAGAUGUAGAAUCACGACCGGAAAUGAACUCCCUGUCCCUCAUGUCCAUUCGUUUUUUUAUACAGACCCAUCCGUUGCUUUGGAAGCUGAAACGUAUCAUGUAAAGUACGACAUUUAGUGGGGAAAGGGAGGUCACCAGUUUAGAUUUCUUCCAACUUCUCAGCGAUUAAAAAAACCUUGCCUGCCAUUCUGUGUCCUCAUCAUUAGGAACAUAUCUUUCAUAAUGUCAUAAAUGCGACCUUUUGCGAUAGGUCAACAGGUCAAGAGAUUGGUACGCGUCGCGCGUUGCGGUGUGGCUAUGGCGCAGCUGCAUAGCUCCCCCGUCCUCGUGCCUCGGGAUUACACUGUCGAUUCACCCCCACCUGCCUCUUGCUCCUCCUCUGCCUCCUAUCCUUGAGCCGUAUCCGGGCCCAGUUUCCCCCUCCUCCUAGUGGUACUUGUACUCGACGAGAUUUCCGUUUCCAUUUCCCCGUUGUUACUGUUUGUUGCUACUCAUGGCCACUAUGAUGCACGCCGCAGCGGACGCAACAGACGCCAUGGAGCAAUCCGAACCGCAGCACCAGCAGCUGCACUACCAGCAGCAGCAGCAGCAGCAGCAGCAGCAGCAGCCGCCCCGCGGGCCAAACUUCCCAAGGAGUGCCGGCGCCGGCGGGGGUUUCCUCCGCGAGCAGCCUGCUGUCGCCGCCGCAGCAGGAGGAGGAGGAGGAGGAGGCUGGCCUGGCGGCAGCGGCAGCGGCUCGCAAGCUGCCCCCUCGGCGCCGGGGCCGGCUGCGGCGGUAGCGGACUUGGAGCCCGCGAUCUGGCGCCCCGCGGCACUCACGGUCCUGCGCGCAGUGCUGCUGGAGCCGUUUGCAAAGGAGUUCUCCGUCCCGGUGGACCUGGAUCAGGUAGGGGUGGUGGGUGCGGGUGGGUAUGGGGGUAACGGCGUGGGGGUUAGGGGGUGGGGGGAUUGUAGAGGGUGUGUUUCUUCGGAGGGAGAGAUGGCUAGUGGACGGUGUGGGGUGUUGGUUGGGGUGGAGAAGGCCCUGAAUAGGAAUAGGCCACUAUGUCGCUUCAUGCCCUGAUAUCUGAACCUGCAGUACGUGAUGUGCAGGUUGGGGGUUACAUAUACACAGAUUGUGUGUGUAUGUGUGUGAUGUGAGGCGUGUUAGCACAUGUGCCGUGUGGUAGCGAUGGCAGUGGCGGUGGCGGUUUCAAUGGCGGGCGUGCAGUGGUGGCUGAAGGAACAGUCACCACACCGUUGCUUUUAGCGCACCGUCCUUGCCUCACCUCCCCGAGCGCCGUGGAUGCUUUUGCUUUCCUGAACCUCUCAGUCGACCCGCUGGCCUCUGAUUCGACGCUUUCUUGCGCUAGGUCGACCCGCCCCAACCCUCCCCCCUCUCCGCGCCCUGUGUUGCCGCCCUCCUUCCCAGCAUCAAAACCGCCUACUGGUCAGUUCUGCUUCCUGUACACUCUUUCCUUAGCAGCAGCUUCACUCGUUCACGUGGUUCGUCUUUCCCUCCCUCCCCUUCCCUCCUCCCCUCCCCUCCCCUCACGCUGCAGAGCCCCAACUAUCUGGACCUGGUGUCCCGACCCAUGGACCUGUCGACGGUGCUUACCAACCUCCGCAGAGGUGCCUACGCCUCCUGCACUGCCGUCGCCACCGACGUAGCGCUCAUCGCUGCGAAUUGCCGUCGCUACCAUCCACCUGGCUCGCCCAUCCUGCGCCGCGCCGACCAACUGAUCACCGCCUUCGCCGCUGCCUGGCGUUCCAACGGCCUGCCGUUACCGCCGGGGGCUGGCUUCCCGUCGGACGCGCAGCUCCGGGAGUAUGAGGACGGCGGUGCUGGGGCGGACGACGUGGCGGCAGUGGCUGCGCCGCUGCCGUCGCGGCGGCCUCCGCGCCAGGGCGCAGGCCAGAAUCCUCGGCUCGGCAGCGACGAGGGUGAGGAGGAGCCCUUGGUGGGGAGGGCCGCUCCGCGGCCAGGCGGCCGCAGGCCGCCAGCGGCGGCGGCAGCCGCUGGCGCACCGUCGUCGUUGCCGUCCGGCUCCGUGCCGCCAGCCGAGACCUGGGAACCACUGGCGCUAGGCAUACUGCGGACGCUGCUGCGUGACCCACGUGCCGCUGCGUUUUCGGAGCCGGUGAAUGUGGACGAGCUGCCGGGCUAUACCAAAGUACGGAGGGGGCCCUCGCUUUGUUGCCGGGGGGGUUUCGGGGACCCUAAUUUGGGCUCUUGAGGCUCUACGAUCACUUUUCUUCCCAGGUCAAUGCGCCAGGUCCUCUGCCUCUACCCAGCCACCCGGGGGUGGGUGGAGGGGCUUAUGCUGCGCCCUGACUCCAAAAGCCCUGGUUCCCCCACAUCCAUAUGCACGUUCUCAACUUUUUCGCCACACCGGCUGCAGAUUGUGUCUCGCCCGAUUGAUCUGGGCACCAUCGCCCGGGACUUGGAGGCCGGUCGCUACACGGGCCCCGGUCCCACGGUGCUGCUCGAUGACGUGCGACUGGUCUGGUCCAACUGCCGCCGCUACAACCAACCCGGCUCGUCCAUUGUCGCGGACGCGGAGCACUGCCGGUCCGCCUUCAACCGCACGUGGCAGAGGCUGGCCGUACCCGCCGGUCUCCCAGCUGCCACCGCCGGGGCCGCCAAGCUGGUCGCGCAGCAGGCCGCCGCCACUGCCGCUACCUCCUCCCACCAUGAGCCGCACGAGUGGCCCGGUUCAGGGCCGUCUCGCCGCAGCGGCGGCGGCGGAGCUGCUGCCGCCCGCGGCGGCGGUGGUGGCGGUCCGUGGCAGGCCAGUGCGGAGGUGGCCCUGAAGCGGCUGAUGAGCAACCGAGUGGCGGCGCUGUUUCUGAAGCCGGUGGAUCCGGCGGAGGCGCCCGGGUACCUGGAUGUGGUUACGCGACCGAUGGACUUGUCUUCGGUGACGGCCAGGCUGCGGCAAGGGGCAUAUGCGGUAAGGGGCAUCGGUGGGUGUGGCGCGGAAGGUGGCGAUCCUCAAGGGGAGGAGGGGGGAAGGGGAGCUGGGCUCGGUGUUGUAGACGGACCUUGCAGCUUGACAACCUAUACAUGUACGUACAUAGCCAUGCUUCCAUGCUUUCCGAAGCAGAGAUAGUUUUUGGAGGCUGCGGGCAGUAAAGCACUCCGAAGUGUUUGAAUACAAUUGAGAUAGGGGUCUCUGCAGUGCUUCUUCAUUGCCUUGCUCGUUGGGCAAGGUGUAAUUGUGGAGUCAACAAAAGUAGCGGGAAUACUUGCGGUCUUCACAGCUGGACGCGUAGUAGUACGAUGUGAAAUUCGUCCUGGGGGCUUCGUCCUCCCUCGCCCUCCGUUGACAGGAUUUUGGUGAGCUAUUGGCUGAUGUGGAGCAGAUCUGGGAGAACUGCCGUACAUACAACAACAAGAGCUCACGCGUGUACAAGCUGGGCGAGCAGGCCGCUGCGCAGUGGCUGUCAGAGUUGGAGGCGGUUGGCCUUGCUGGUGGGGGCGGCGGCGGAGCCGGCGGCGAGGGCAGGCAGCAGCGCGCGCGGCGGCGGCGAAAGACCACGGCGGCGGUGGCAGCGACGUACGACUCGGCAUCGGACGGCGGCGACAGCGCCGGGGGCGAGGGGUUUGACUCGGAUGAGGACGACGAGCGUGGCGGUGGGGGCGGUGGCGGCCGGCGCGCUGGCGGGGGUGGCCGGGGGGCGGCAGCGGGGUAUCGACCAGGCAAGCGCGGCAGGCCGGGGGAUCCCGCAUAUGAGUGAUCGUUCGGAAUCAUUCGAAGAGUAGGGUCCAAAUGAAACACCUUAUCGAUCCAUAUAGAUAGGGCAGACGUGAAGCGGUGUUGGACACGGCUGUUGCUGUCGUUGCCGUCACUGAAGAGAUCAGGACCGUUGAAGACCCCUCAGGUUGAUGGGUUGCCGCCGGUUGCAGUUCUACAUGAUUUUAUGACAGGGAGCACCUUAAGGUUUUUAUCUUCCCCCAGUGCGGACUCCUACCUUCGUCCUGAAGCAUCGCUGACACUGCCCGGACGGGGGGGUGGCCUUAAUUACAACGGAUUUCACCUGGAGUACUCGGCCUUAUCUAAGGCAGAGGGGCUAGGAACCUUACGUAGACCGAUAGCUCCAGUGCAUGUGGCCCUCCGUCUUGCCACGGGGCUCCGCAACGUUUCGAAUUGAGCAUACCCGUGGUAAAGGCAUGAACGUAUUUGGUCAUUUGUUCGACUUGGGCGGUGCCUUGCUUUUGUUGGCGGGGUGCAUGGUACCGUGUUGGGACGACGUCAUCAUAGGGUGUGUCGACAUGGCGGUCUUGGCACUUUUUCAAAUAGAGGGGUUACGAUUAGAACACCGGGUAGCGGGGGGAGUAAAGGGUUUACCGCGCAAGGAUGUGGAACACGGAACCGUGCACUGGUGUCACGGCGGAAUGUAGACUUGAAGGAUUGCGCGUCCGGGUGGUUAUCUUGUGUGUAUAGCUUUGGAAGAUGUGCAGCCAACAUACCUGUGUCUGGCGGCCGUGCAUUCAUCGCCGCUUCGAUCGCAUAGGACCCGUCGAUAUGAGAAACUUUGUUUUGAUUCGUAUACCUCUGGGCCCGCACGGUCGCGGUCCCGGUUCACGACCGCCACCAUGUAGAUACCCGGAUGUGAGAGCGCAUCACCACAAGCGCCGGGGCCUCGAUAAGACAUGCCAGCUCGAAUUCUUUGGCCCUAUGCCUCUGGUCCCUCCAUAUAGCCUCCAUAUAGACCGCGCUCACGAUCAUCUGCACCACCACUUGCUGCAGAGCGUCCCUCGUCGGGGUCGGUCAUAUGGAGCCCGCCUAAGGCCCCAACCCCAAUCUUAGAUCAGGCCUGUCACAGUCCCACAUGAUUGCCGCACCCGCAAUCCACAGCGCAGCCAGAGGGCAACGUCAACUGUAAUGAGACCAGCCUUCCGCAUGCGAAAUGGAAGUUGUGGCCGUUUUGUGCUGAGAGCGCGAUAUCAAACGAAUACACCGUAUUUCAUACGACUUCUUGUCGACGAGAAUCACGAUGAGAAGUCUCCACGCGCAGUCGGAGUGAAGCCAUUCCCAGCCAAACCGAAAUGCGAGCCUAAGAAAAAGAAAAAGCUUGCCAACCAGUUGCUGCUCAUCAUCCACCAGCAAAUACACGGGCGAUGUAGUGCAGUCCAGACUGCAGCAUCUGGCACCCGGUGACUCGAGCAAUCUUCCCGCCAGAAACCCAUUUCGGGCAACACACAACGGCAAAUAUGUCCACCAGCGGAACCCCGCCUGCGCGCCUCCGCCCAUCAUCGGUAAAGCACCGCAACGCACGUGUCUGUGUACAAAGUAAAGCACACCCUCGCAGCGCUCACUUCCCCCGUCGGCUUUGUCUUUGCGCUAAACACCUGCCCUGGAAGCAUCGCACCAUAAGCCGCAGUGCACCCAGAGUCAUAACCAGGACCAAGAGAAACUGUGAACCAAACGUUCCAAGCCUCAACCUUUCUGUCCGUGGGGCGAGGCAAGACAAAUAGCUGUCCCAAUGACCCCCUGGACAAAAGGGCCCGUACCUGGUAGGCAUCUCCAAUCUUGCAUGAACCACACCACCUACACUAAGUGUGCUUUUGUCCUUGCGACCGCACCUAGUGGACCUCACGCAACCGCCCGGACGCACGAACGAAGGGAGUGGGACUUCAAAGGGCCGGCAGCCAGUAAGCUACAGCCCACGUGCCGAUGAGCAAAAGCUGAUGGUCUAAAUCGUCAAGCCACCGCACGGAUGCUCUGCUUCAAACGCUUCAAUAUGAAGAAGAAAUCACGAGCAAAGUCUUCAUGUACACACCCAAUAACCCGUUUGACAUAUUGCGAGGAAAGAGGAAACGCGUCCCUGCCGCUACGUGUUAUUCGAAUGUACGACCAAUUAGCUCCGAUCAGUUCCCCGGUCUACCACCGCUCAUCUAACGACCAGCCUUGAGCUAGCAGGGUCCCGAACGCACUGAGUAGGUGGUGUCGGAGACCGCGCCGCUCCCGGCGAACCGAGCCCCGAACGUGCGCCGCUGCUCAGGCUGACUCGUGGGGGGCUUCCUGGCCACAUGCUUACAACUCUGUGACCGAUGAGUUGUUGUUCAUGGGGGACUUUGGGCAAUAUGACUGGCAAGCUUGGGGCCGGGCGUCCAUUCCACCAGCCAGCCACAAACUUCCGCCGUCAGCUCCCACUAAAACUGAAAUACUGGCCCUUUGAAAAAUAAAUCCAAAGGGCCCGCAAGCCCUUACUUACUUAGCCCCACGCUCAACCCCGCUUGCGUUGCCAGGCUGCCACCCUGGAGCAGUAGCUGCAUCCAUGUCAUCGUCAGCGACUGCGGUCCUCUGUUGACCUCUCAAGGGCAGGUUCGGCCUCAGGGCCUCAGGGGUGUGUGUAUGUGUGUCUCACGGCAAGGUGCUCCCCCCGCCCCGCCCACUGAGCGCCGAAGACGACCUCCUGUUGCGGCAGCUGGGACUGGCUGUACGUGGCUUGCUGCAGCUCGCAGCCCAGCGGGGGCUGUCCUGGUGACCUUGCGCCCCGCCCUCCCCGCUCCACCACAUCACAUACAUGCCCAGCUGAGGUCCCACCGGUGGCGGUCUGUGGGGUGCCGCUGCAGCAGCAAGGUGCCUUGUGGGCCAACUUGGAAGGGCACCACCGAGUCCUCAAUCUGCGGAGCCCGAAAACCGAAAACCCACGGGGGGGAGGAGGCACCCGGUGAAGAGGCUGCAUGAAGGGUUGGCACCAACCGGGUCUGGACGGGACCACCGGACGCGGCCCCCGCGCGAGCGAUAGAACACAAAAGUGACCGCGACCCACUUCACCAGUCCAGUUGUUACACACCGAGAAAUGCACAGACUAUGUCACUACUUUUGGCGCUCACGCUGACACCGACUGGCUGUUUCCUUCCCUCUGCCCUCCUUCACGUUCCUUCCUCCCUCUCCUACGCCCCACUCUGCACCCACUCACGCGGCCAGCCGGCCAGGCGGCCACCCACCUGCACCAGCUGCAUGUAGGCCUCUCCCCCUUCCGUCAGCCGCCACUCGGCACCCUGGAACCAGCGAGGCCAGCCCAGCAGCUUGUUGCCCUCAACCGUGUCGUACAGCUUGCGAUCCUGCGCAAUGACACGGACCGUGUCCGACCCCCCCGCAACCUCCCCCGUUAAACUCCAUCGUAAUGCGCCAAGGAGGAAAUGUGGUCCUCUGCAGUCUGCAGGUUUUCGAGCAAUGCACGAUGCAAUAGCGUUUUACCUAGGUACACACACGCGGGGGUAUAUGUGCCCCCACGUGUGUUGCGGUAGGUGCAUUGCAGCCAUGUGCGCGUGAUGCCCCCAACGGAAUGUGGCAAGGGGAAGUUCUGAUAUGACUGGGCCCCCUGGUACUAUAGUAGCUACGGAUGGCCGGUUCUGCUCUGGCUUGGGGCUUGACAGUUGCAGCGUCAACUCAAGAGGCCUUAGUGCCGUCGUACAAUCAACGUGACCUACCGCCAUCGUACUUGUUGCCCACUUUUGCAACCUGCCCACCUACACACCGGCGAAGGUGAAGCGUCUCCCUCCCCCGGCAACACCCUUCUACCAACACCCCAACCUGCUCACCUGCAGGACAUCCAGGACGUCCAUAGCUAGAUCCCGGUCCAAACCCUGCGGCAUGCUCUCAAACGCAUCAUCCACGUGCGGGAAGUCGUACGUAAAACGGUAGGACGUGAUGCGCCGCUCGGCCAAGACGUCCACGUGGGGCGGGGCCACGAUCUCAGACGCGUCCCGGUAUACGAGCUGCCCCUCGUCCAGCACUCGAACCAGGUACCAUGUCCCUGCCGUCACGAAGACGCGAGGGGUAGGUUAAGGUUAUUUUUGGGUGGUGGCAUUUUGGAUUGCCAUUGCGGAGAUAGCACGAAUAGAAGGCGUGAUAAGCCGUCAUACGUAAGCCGAGGGAGAUAUGUAGGUGCCGCAAACACGAGCAAGCCCCAUUCCCCAGUUGUGCAGUUUGCCCUCCAAUUCUUACCAUCCUCCGCAUAUAUGCUAUCGGUAAGAAAGACCUGCAUGAGACCCCGGCUGUACCCCAGGGCGUGCUGCACGGCGGCUGGGAGCUCGCUCACACGAAGCUGCCACAAGUGGGUCAAACUCGCGUCAUCGUUGCACGGCCAUGACUCUGAUGGUAGGAGGUAAGGAAGUCCGCCAAUUUUGCUCUCAAACAAUCCCAACCCCCCUGGUGGAACGGGCUCACAGAUUGGCAGGAAGGCGAUGCGGCGUUUGGAAAAGAGAUAUUCCAAGAUUGCUGUGACAGCGGGGCUAGAGCUGUCCACGCGUUCGUCCAGCAUAUCAGUUUCAUCCAAAGCUUUCCUUGCGGCUUCAGCCCAUAUGUCAAACGUUUGGUAGGCGCUCGACGAUGGCGAUGAGCCGCUCAAGCUAGGUUCGUCGUAUAAAAUGAACGGGCGUCCCAUAAUAUACGCUUGGAUAAUUACGAGAUAAUUUGCUUAAACGAGAAAACACCGUCGUUCGCUGCUCUUGUCUUCAGGGCAUUAUCUGAAAUUAAAGUUACACAAAGUCUGACAGCUGGAUGGAAUUGUGUACGGACGUAUGCAUUUGGAGAAUAUGUUGUUUCUCUGGCGGUGUCUUCCGGCGCAGCGUUUCGGAGCCGCCGACAGGAAGUUUGUGCGACGCCGUGCGGAUGCGACGUGCGCAAAAAACAAAUGCACGGUGAAGCCUCCUAUUUUUAAAGCCAUUUGUAUAAGCAAAUAAACAACCCAACUAUUUCAUACCAAUUUUCGGGCCCUCCUAGUUGCCUGUGUCAACAUCGGGAUACCGUCCAUGCGCAAAGCCAAGCGCGAAAACGUCUUUCACAUCUUACCCGAGCAUUCUAAAUAGUCUUUCACACCAUGCUGUCGGUGGACGCGACUCCGCCAGCUGCAGCUGUCGCAGCUCCAAUCGUACCCGCCUCCCAAAUACUGCGUCUCUUACAGCAGGCGUCUCGCGAGGUCAGAGGUAAGUUCCACUCCCCCACUUUUGCUUUCGCCCCAGUUGAGACACUUGCUUUCCACGCCAUGAAGAACGUGCGGCUACCACCUCCCUCCAAGCUUCCUUCGCGCCUAAUCCCCCAACCCGCUCACCCACGUUCCAUCCUCCAGACAUGGGGCCCCCUAAAACCCCCAUGCACACACAUGCACAAAACAUGUAGAAUCCCCACCUUCCCCUGCACCUAGGGGAGCUCUUCUUCCGGGCCUCCUCUUGCCGCCCACACCAUCCCCAGCAUCAAGAGCAUCAGCGCAGCCAUGCAUUAAAACACGAUACUUCCCUCGGGGGCAGGAAGGAACGUACACGGGGGCCCGUACGCAAUACCCCGAACAUGCUAAACACACACACACACACAUCGACACAUACACACACAUCGACACGUACACAAAAAACCUCCAGUCGCUUCCCACACCCUCCCUGGACCCCCAACUGACUGCACCAUGCCGUACAGAUCUGGAUCUGGGUCGCUCCGUGGACCGCGUGGAUCUCCUGGAUCUGACUCCCCUGAGGUUCGCGACGGAAUACGUCCAGAGGAACAAGCCCGUGGUCAUUACGGGUGCGUGUGCGUGUGUGUGUGGGGGGGGGGGGGAGGAAGAAACCCGCCCACUGGGUCUGGAGCUGUACGGAGCUGUACAAAUAAAUCAUUCCUGUAACCCUUUCCUAACUCUCGCUAGCUUCCCGUCUAAAUGGGGCCUCCGCACACCCACACCCCUCAGGAGCUAUCAGUUGCUGGCCCGCCAUGACGUUGUGGGGGGAGCGCUACCUGGAGUCACAUCCCGCGGGGGAGACGGUUGUGACGGUUGACGUAACGCCCAACGGCAGAGGGGAUGCAAUUACGACCGUUAGUAAGACGAGCUCGCUGGGGUCCCGCGCGGGGGUGUGAGUGCGGGGACACGCUCUUCCCGAACCCAUAGCCUUGCACGCAGAUGAGAUGCUUCCAAAGACUUUUUGCUCCCUUCCCUUCUUUCAACCCCCCUGCCACUAGGCAAUCGCACCAGGCCCCCAUACCUUCCCAACUUCAAACCCUCUCUCUUCCGCACCUGCUGCCCCUGCUGCCCCUUGUUCCCCCCGGCCAGCUGACCCCGCCACGGGCGAGCUCCGUCGCUGGUUUGUGACCCCCCACCAGCGGCGCAUGACCCUUCGGCAGUUCUUCCACUUGAUGAGGGUGGGAGGGGGGUGGGAGGGGGCCUGCGGUACUCCUAGGGAUUCUAGAAUGUGCCUCUCAGUGAUCCUAGGGUUUGUGUGGACAACACAUGUACCGACCUGCAAUGGUGGUGUGCUGCCGCUGCUGCUGCUGCUGCUGCUGCUGAUGAUGAUGAUGAUGAUGAUGAUGAUGAUGUUAUUUUAGUUGUCGUUUCGUGUCUUGUUUCCUUUUCUGGAUCCUUGGUGCAACGGGAGAUGCUGUGACGACUGAUGCUGCUCUCCUGAAACACACACACGCGCUCGCACUGACAUGGGUGCCACCACACCCGCCCACCCUGGGCCCGGCCUGCGGUGGUGGUGGUGGUGGUGGUGGUGGUAUUGGGCUACCGCACCGAUCGCCCCGGCACACAUGCACGUACGUACAUACGUACAUACGUACACAUACCAAAGGCGAGCAGGGCUGCAGAGAGGUCAGAUACCAAGUCCGGGACACCGCGAGAGGUGCCGUAUAUGCAGGUACGGCAUGGACGUGUAUGUCAGAUGUGCAAAGCUGCGUGCGCCGUGUGCUAAUCAUUGCUAAUGUGCUAAUCAAACCAAGUACGGCAGCUACAUCCAUCUGGGGUCCCUGCAAAACUGUAUCCGCGUACUUGCCUGUCAUGCUAUCCUGUCUCCAUGUUUUGCGUUGUGGGUUUGUCCGCUGAUUUAUUUGUAUGUAAUGUACGCGUGUAUGUAUGUAUGUAUGUAUGUAUGUAUGUAUGUCGCUCAGCACCAGAACAGCAAUCUGAGUGAGGAGCUGGGGCUACUGCUGGGCGACAUAGGGCCCGGAAUACCCUGGGCGGAGGAAGUGUUCGGGGGGCCCCCCGAGGUGAGGUUUGGGGAAAUGGGGGGGGAGGGAGGGACGGGGCGACGAACCACUGACGAUUAAAGCAAAUACAUACCAGCGAUAGACGGAUAGUCGAAGGGGGCUGGCGGGGUUAGGCCGCCUGGCGGCCCCGUGUCCGACACCCCCGCUGAUGGGCCCCGGGCCUUCCUGGCCACAUCUUGAGCGAGCCGGUGUAACCGGUGUGACUCGGGGGGGGUUGGGAAGUUACCCCUCUCUCUCUCUCACUCCCCUAAGCUCCAGUUCGCUUUGUUGGGUUUGAUUGGGAUUAAGGGCCGGUUGCCAUUCGGUGUUGAGCCGCACAGUGGGGGGGAAGGGGGGGGAGGAGGGGGCCGGGUGAUACCCCCCUGAGUCGUUCUCUUGAAGCCACGUAGUCAGCUGCCUUGGGGACCUCUGGGGGCCUGACUGGCACAUUGACUGACUGACUGACGGAUGGACUGGGUUGAAAGACCGACAGACUGACAGACCGACAGACUGACACACGACGUGUAUUCCCUCACAUACAUACGGGGCUCCCUCUUGCUACGCACUCACGUCGUGGCCACCAAUACGGUGUUUGUCUGUCUGUCUGUCUGUGCGUAUGCCUGUACGUAUGUCGGGACCUCCCGGGGACGGGCGGCCGGGCCCCUGCCCUGCAGGCGACCAACAUCUGGAUUGGGGACGGCCGGAGCGCCACCUCCUUCCACAAAGGUGAGAGCGGGAGGGCCCUCCCAGACCCCCACUGGGUGCGUGUAUGUGUAUGUGCAUGGGGGCUUUCCAUUCGUCGGUUCCCCCUCCUAACGCCCGUAAGUGCGUGUGUUUGUGGUAGGGUUGAGGGCCGUACUGCCUGCCGUACCCGGCACGUCCCUGGCCCCCAGACCAUUACGAUAACCUCUACGCUGUCAUCCGGGGCACCAAGUUGUUCACGUUGCUGCCGCCAUGUGACGUGUACCGAAUGUACCUCACUCGUUGCCCCGCCGCCGUCUACAUGCCGCGGUGCGACGUCCCACCCGGCGGCAUGUACGGCGAGGUGUCGCCACAGCCCGGCGGCAUGUACGGCGGCGGCGGCAGCUCGUCGCACAUCCUCCGAGACGCCGCCACUGUCCCUGCCGCCAGCACCCCUGCCGUCAGCACCCCUGUCCGCUCCGCAGCCAAUGACAACAGCGCCCUGGGGGGGGUUACGGCGGUGCCUGGGAGGUUGGAGGGGGGGAGGGGGGCGGUCUCGGUUUCGGAGCAGCCCGCUGCUGACCCGACCAGGCUUGUGGCUGUCCUGCAGGUAGGGCGGGGGGCGGGAGGGGUGGCGGGAGGGGAGGGAAAGCCGCCGCGGUGUGGGGUCGGGGUGGCCAGGAGGGCUUCCGCACCGGGCGAUGGACGCUCGUGUCCGGGUUGCCAUGGCACUCGGCAGGGUGUGGUCACCUGCCAGUUUCAGCUACAUCCAUAGCUACAACCCGCAACGGCCAACUUCCAACCGUAUACAUGCCGUACCCUCACUUCUCCUUCCGUACAUAGGAUCCAGGCGACGAGGUGCUGUGGAGUGCCGUGGAUACCACCGUACAGGGUGCGGGAGGGGGUGAGGGGGUGAGGGGGGGGGGGGAAGGGGGGGAGGGGGGAAGGGGGGGAGGGGGGGAGGGGUCAGCGAAGUAACACUCUUCGUGGAGCUGAGUUCGUGUAGCCAAGUGCUUGUUGGUCUGACAUGUCGCCCGGCUUGUUUGGGGUAUGCAUGUGUGUGUGUGUGUGUGUGUGCGUGUGUGUGUGUGUGCGUGUUACGCCUUGAGGUGGGUUACCCUUGAACACACAUUAGACACCAUGCUUGUGUGUGUGUGGGUCGUGUACGAUAGACGUUCUCCUGCGUUCGGAUGGAGGACGACGCAUCUGCAUGUUCAUGGCAUAUGUACGACACGUGGCUAUGUUUUCCAGUCACCGAUUUUGAUCCCGUAUACUCCGGUACGUGCGCUGUACGACGCGUCUGGUUCAUACGGCAGAUCCUGUCACGAGGAGGACUCAGCUGCUGUUCUUCGGUCCGCUCGAGGACGGCGGCGGCGCUGCCCGGAGUCCGGCAGGCAGCAGUGGCGAUAGCAGUGAUAAUGAUAGUGACAGUGACAGCAGUCUUAGCGACCCAUGGGCCACCGCAGGAGGUCCGCCCCUCAUCGUAGAGGUGAGCUGCGCCACGUUGCGUUACAUUACCUUCCCUCCGGCAUGUGGGCGCUGUCCCCCUUCCCCCACCUUCCUCCCCCUCCUCUUCCCACCGGUGGGCAGCUUCUUGGUUCCGGGCAAUUGGCGCUUCAGACGCAGGGGAUUCGUCUUCACUAUCUGCACUGUAUGAUUCCCCUCUUCCCCCCACCCUCCGCCGGCCCCCCCCUCCAGGUGGGCCCCGGUGAGGUGCUCUACCUGCCCUCCCUGUGGUACCACCAGGUGGAGCAGUACACAGACCAGGAGAGGGGGGAGCAGGGGAGGGGGAGGGGGAGCACCGCCGCUGGGGCGGGUCGUUGCCCUCCCGCCCCAGCGGACCACGAGGCGACUGCUAGCGGUGGACGUGGUCGUGGCUGUGGUGCGGCUGCUAACGGACAAGGUCAGAGGCAGGAGCACCAACAGCAACAGGAAGAGGAGGAGGAAUACGUGAUAGCGGUUAACUUUUGGUGAGUUGGUUGGGAGUUGGUUGGGUGCUGGUGAAAGCUCGUUCCUCGUCUGGCCGGGUGGGGGGCCCCGCACCACAACAUCCAAGACUUUACCUGCGCGCCGGGGGGCCCCCCAUAUGGCAUACAUCCCCACCCCUAACCUUGCCCAGAUCCGCUGGGCCACCCUGGCCGACAUUUCCAAAACCGGCUUAUCAUGUGCUGCUGUACUGUCGUGCAGGUACGACAUGAAGUACGACAGCCGUUAUAGCGGAUUUAAGUUGGUGGAGGGUCUUGCGAUGGCGUUAGGUCUUGCAGAUCAGCCGCCGGGUAGGGAGUCAGGUGAUGACGUGGGCCGGUGUGAAGGUAGUUAGGUAGGUAGAUAUCUCCCCAGGGCUGCCGCUAUGUUAGCUGAGUCACGUUUGGGCUGAGGUGCCCAUGAAGCUCUGUGGUGGCGGUGGGAAGGCAGUUUGGAAGGAGACGAAAAAAGAAAGGAAUGGAAGGAUGCCGCCACCGUCAUUUGGUUUGCUUUAUUUUGGUUGCCCCGAAAUUACUGUUUUGCGGUCUCCGGGUACUGGUGAUCAGGAUGUUAGGCUGUGGGGUAGUGGGCGCCCCUGUGUUGCUGCAGUGGCGGAAAAGCGCUCCGUUUGCUCGCGUGCGUGCGGAGGAGUGAGGAGUUACGCCCGCCAGUGAAUUUCUGUCGGAGGGAAAUCCGUGGGCAAUAUCCUGAUGCCGGUAUUGCUGUGCUGGUGUUGCGUGGGUGUCGCGAAGCUGUGCAGUCCGCUGCGCUGCUUGGCUGGACGAAGUGACGGGGGGCACCGUGGUUAACGUGGCCGACCCGCGGGGAAGGCGGCUCCCUUUCCCCUUCCAUGCCGCGUGGAGGGGAGGGGAUUCGGGUACCUCGGGGACUUAACGAAUGGAUCCCGCAGUGCGGGAUUCAUUGACGGUACUCUGCUCCGCACUCGAAUGCCGUACGUGGGCAGUGACCGUCCGCAACUGCUGGGUUACUACAUUGAGGAGGUCCACUCCAGGAGUAGACCUCACAGACAGGACAGGACAGCUGUCCGGCCGCCGGUCGGUGGGGCGCCGAAGAGCGAUUAUCACAGCCAUGCUUGGGAGAAAGAGAGAGAGGUUUCCAGGGGGUGGGCAGGUUUUCCUAACCUGUCAUGUGUCCACCGCUUGCAGAAGCGUCCAAGAUUGGGAGCUCAUAGCGACUUCUUGCAUCGACAUGCAGGACAAGCUUCCGAAGCACCAGCACCAGGUUCCCCGUGUGCAAUUAACAUUUCUGGAACGGCAAACACCCGGGAACUAGCGCCGGCAGUACGGCAUGGUGGAAAGUUUGGCAGUUCCACUGCAAUCCAUUACUCAUAUCGUAUACUGUGUCUACGCGGCAUGAGGGAGUUAUAGGGGUCGGUGGCGCAAUGAUAUGCUCUGCUGGUCCUAUCGGCAUUUUAAGGCGUCCAAUUUACGUGCGUCCCCCCACGCGCACACGGCCAACGCAUAUACCUCGGUGACUGGCACACAUCACAUGGCACAUCACACCUACCCGUGUUGCAUAUAAAUAAAUACUCCUGUGGGCGACGGGCGUUCGCGGAGGUACCGAGGAAAAACAAAUCCUCUCUAUACCCUUGUACAGCCCUGAGACAGUCAAGCCGCCCGAAAGUAGUACGUACAUCCAUCACCUCAAACUCGGGCCUAACAGACAGAUCUGAGUACGCAUAACAGUAUAAAACCAACACCUGUCGUAUGACCUUCCUCGGCCUCACCAUGCGCAGCAUGUGUAUUAUAUGUAUAUAUAUCGUACAACGGUGUAGCCGGCAUUUAAACAGUCCUCGAGAUAUUGCUGCAUACAUUCGCCUUCAUUCGGCCCGCCACUUUGCUCCCAUACACCUAUACUCGCUAACCACUAUUAGGGCGUCUCCGAAUGUGCAAUGUAGAGAGAGAGAGAGAGACAGCGAUAGUUAGGUAAAGAGGCAGCCCCCAGGUCCCCAAAAAUUGUAACAAAAAAUAUUCUCCUGCCCACCCAUCCAUCCAUCCACCCCCCUCCGUCAACCAGCCUCAUGCCUGCCACACCGCACUUUUUCCCCUUUGCCGCCUAAAAAUAGUGGCCACUGCAAUCCCAAUGGGCGCAUCUACAACACCCACUCCUGGGCAGGCUCCCGCGACCACCUUCACCGCCCCGCGCACCUGCCACCAGCAUCUAACCCCCCCCCUGCCCCGCCUCAGGGCCCCCCUGGCCAAUAACCUUCUAUACCUACCCUUUAUACUGCUCGUAUCUGCACCACAUUUCCUCACUUCCUUGCCACUGCGGCCGACGACCCACCAUCCACUACGCCUGCACCUGCACCGCCUCUCCCUCCCCGUCCGCCUGCUGUGUCCCCGUCGCCCCGUUACUGCGCACGUCAUGCAGCUCGCGGUAGUGCCGCCGGCACACCGGCGCGUAACUCUCAGUUCCGCCCACCAGUGCCUGCCGGGUGCUAGCGGCGAUACGGAGUGUGAAGUGCGAGGGCUUGUUGCAGAAGCUGCAUCGCCCUUCCAACUUAUCGACCCGGUCAGCCAGGGGCACCAGCUCCAGAAGCUGUGUAGCGGCGGGGGGGGGCAGGGGCAAAUGGGGGGAAAACAAGGUGAGGGGGGAGAAACCCCACGUAGCAUGUUUUGCAAAUGCAAGGUGCUAAAACAUACGUCCUGUCUGUGCCAUCGUCGUUACCCUUUCCCCCGUGCCCCUCAUCCUCGCCACCCCACCGCAAACCCCAAAUGUGACAGCUUCCGACUACGCCCACUAGGUCACCCACCUGCCCGAAACGCUGCCUCCGGAAGUCCCCGUUCAGGCCCGCCACAAUGACCACCUUGCCGUCCCUCUCCGCUGUGUGCAGCACCGACUCAACCAGAUCUGGGUGGCCAACCAGCAAGGCGGGAGGCACGAAGGGAGGGGCGGGGGCGGUUGGGAAAACCAAGGAAACCGCCAACUUGACGGCGGACCAGAGCAGGAAGUGUAGGAGAAGGAAGUUUCAGAGGAAGAUGCCGUUAGGGGGGGCUUCAAAAAGGGGAAGUUAAGCGCAUCUGUAUCUUGGCCCGGUGCGGCACUCACAGCCACCACUUUACAAACACGCCUCAACACAACCCCGCCGGGGAUCCAAUAAGCUUCUACACGCAACCGCCCACCCGCCCAACCUCAUCAACAUCCUUCUCACCAUCAAUGAACUGAGCCUCGUCCACCGCCACAACAUCGACCUUAUCGUACUCUGCCGUACCCAGCUGUUCUCUGAGGCUGCCUAGCCUUGAUAGGCUGAUGCAGGGCAAUCGCUCCCCGGUGUGUGUGACCACGUGGUCAGUCGAGUAGCGGGUGUCCACCGCACUCUUCACGACCACCACCCGCUGACCCGCGGACUGGGCCUCACGAACAUGCUGGAGCAGCCGGGUGGUCUUACCAGCGAACUGAGCGAAGAUCGUGGGAGGUGCGGAAGGGAGUUGCGGGCGGGAGAGGGUGAUUGAAUGGAUGGAUGGAUGGAUCAGUCAUCGUGUGUUGUGGAACUGGGAAAAGACGGGCAGUUGAAGCGGAGCAGCACACACGACUUCUGCCGCGGGAUGGUGUGCAUCCCAACCUGGCGAUGGGAAAUUUUGGGAAAGCAGGUAUUCGGAGGGGACCCACAAAUACGCGGCUGGGGAAGCGGUGGAGGCGGUGGCUGGCAGCAUCGGGGGGUUGGGGGCCCUGAAAGCGCCUCACCAUCGGUCCCAUGAUAAGGUGAAUUUCUCCCAUGGAAUCCCUUGGGGAUUUUGUGUUAUGAACAGCAGCUGAGGCCUCAGUUCCCAGCUCGGCAGCUUGCGCACGCCAUGACGGCAUUCGUUGACGAAGUAGACUAGCAAGGUAUGAUGAACGUAAAUUUUGAGUUCGAGACAGCAGGGAAUGCAUCACGGUUGUUGACAGAGCCAGUCGGUGCCCUUUCGUCGAGUUCUGCAUGGGAACGCCGCCACCGAAAAGGGCUGUCCAGACGCCUGCUACAAUGCGGCGACGAAAGACAGUGUGCGGCUUCCUUAAGCCUUAAUCCUAUAUGUGCGGUGCGUAAGAGGGUGUGGAAACAGGUGAAAACAGGGGAGCAGCUGUCGGGCCGUCUCCCAAGCAACAAAGCCUAUGACACGUCGCCUUUGUGUCAGGAGAACAUCAAUUACUGGUUGGGCUAAGGCGGAACUCGUUGGCUAAUUGCAUUCGUUAGCGCGCCUAGGGUUUGAACGGACCCCGUACUUUGCAACCAACUCGGUAACCGACUUCCAAUCGGACUUGCAUGCGCAAUUGUGUGCUGGACCUGUAUAUGAACGGCUUGCUUCCGCUUUAAGUUUAACCUUUUCCUGCUACGAAAUCCUAUGUCAUGCGACGCACCGUGAACACACCGUGUAUGCAGCACCGUGAACCACCGAGCACCGUGAACAGCAAUGAAUCAUUGGGUACAACGAUGAAAGCAAUCAUGUUGGAACAGUUUACCUGAAAUUAAGCCAUAGGCUCGAAUAUUUAAAGGAUGGCUGCUGUGCCGAGCCGAACGGGAACUAAUUUCCUUGCCGGACGGUAUGCAAUUUGGUUCAUCAUGCCCCCUCAUGAUUACCAAACAUUUUUUAUAUCCAGCUACGAUGUCCUGUUGAUAUAGAAUAAUGCUAUAUGCCAUGGAUUUGGAGAGUUUUGGACAACUUUCUAACGCUCCGUUCCUUGGCACGGCUCCGUUCCCCCGCACGCAAGUUGGCUUGCCCGCAAGUCAUGAAGGGCUGUGGAGGUCGUUAAGAUGUCAAUAUAUUUAACAUUUGCACCACGACGUAAAGAUGUUCCGUUGAGUGCUGCUUAAGGAUUCUGUGCGCCACUCCAGAAUACCACCGUUUGCAAGUCGUCGGGACGCGAUCCCUGAUACAAAGCCUUUGCUUGCUGUUCCCCGGGAGGGGGGAAGGAAGUGCAAUCAGGCAAAGGUGAACUCUGGUCGCUGGCCCAAUUACCACGCUGUUGAGGCUAGCGAUGUGAAUACGGUUUCAUCAACCAUCUGGGAAUGCAUAGCCAAUGUCGUAUUAUAGAGCAAGGUCAAUUGCCGCUUCACCAAGUCUCCACUAGCAUAGGGUUCCUGUUGCCUGUUCUCCUCCCUGCAACUCGUCUUCUAAUUAUUACCCAUUUUGCAUUAUGGGUUGUCAUAACCAAAGGCAAAUGCGGUCUGCUUUCCUGAUCCCCUGCUGUUAAGUUAAUGCAGGGCUGGACCCGGGGGCAAGUGGGACAAGGAGCUAUAAGUUUUAUACGAGGUCUAGCCACUCAGUUCCCAUGUUAUGCCAAACAUCAUACGCCGGAAGCAAAAGCACGCAUCAUGGGUGAUCGCGUCAAAAAAGCUUUGAAGGCUCCCCAACAGGAGCAGAGGCCUCCACAAUCAAACAAAUGGCGUCAACACCGGAUACAUCAACAUCGACCUUCCUUCGCAUACCGCCAUGAAGCCCAACCUGUCCACCUCACUAACUGCUAAGGCCACACUACGCGCGGCGGCCUUGUAGCCAGGCGCGGACACGAUCAUGUCACACGUUGUCGCCUAGUUAGAUCCUCCUCCUCGCAAAAGACCCGGGCAAGAUCAACACAGGCUAGGGCACGCAGGCGGCGAUUCUAAAAGAAGCCUGUAUAGCUAGGAAUUCCCCUAGAAAGCUAAACUGGUUGGCUCCAGAAAUAAGCAAGCGGCAUAACCUUUCAACACUUAAGGAACCCACAUCCCCGAAAGGCGGUAUAGAUAAAACAGAACCCGUUCAACACAGUGAUGCUCAAGAAACGCCGAGCUGGCACGAAGACAGAUUCAUGUGAACCGUACACUCAAGGACCAGCGCGCUGCGGUCAUUCGGGGGUAGCACAUCCGCCGAUUCGACCUCGCAGCCGCCACAGUGCAGCAAAAUAAUGCAGCAAACGAUGUAUAUAUAUUGAUCCCUGGAGGGGCGCAACCCGCCAAAUCUUUAUAGGUUUGGAGGAAUAGAUGCAAGUGGAGUACCUCCCUGGUCCUCUAGAUGAGUUCGUCGCGGACCCAGACAAGGGAACCUAUGUUGGGAACAAGCACACACGCCCACCCACCACCGCGUCAACCUCCCCGCCAGGGUACGCACCCCUGGGAGAGAUGGGUAGGGAUCCCAGUGAGAGAGAUUCGACCGGACGACAGCAGGCUAGCGCCAUUAUUCCCCCAACCGGAGAUUCAGGCAACCAUAUCACCAUUCCGCACAAGAAGCGGCAUCAACCAGUAGGUAUAUCUCCAGGCACAGGACGCCACCAGAGGACGCCAAACAACGCGGAAAAUAAAGCAAAGCACAAAUGCAAAUUCUUUUCUUGUCAAUAGCAUUAAUGCACAGCGAGACUGGCAGCGAACAACUGCCGGAGAGCACACACAUUUAUCAUACCACGAAGUAAUGCUCCACCAUGAACCUCAUACUGAAGGCUGAUGACGUCAGGACCAAGCUGUCAUCGACAUGAUUUGCAAACUACCCGCCACACGCCUACAACUCCUCACACCACCAUGUAGGACGCUUGCCAUGGACCCCGCAACAACAACACAACGGCAAGCGACGGAGAACCGCUUCCGCCAAUGCCGCACAUGUAAGGCCCGACUUUUCCAUUCCAUGCACCUGCAUGCCUGCAUACAGCUAACGUCCUGCGUAGAUAUGCGAGGAUGGCGCCUGCAGGCAUUCGCCAUCCACAUGGCGAUAUCGCCACCAGCCGCGGCAAACGGGGAGCCCGCUGAAACAGCUUGCAACCAACACCACUACGUGAGGGACGCCAGUUGGCUUCCGCCAGUCACUUGUCCAAUCUACUGGCCACGCCUGGGCUACUACGGCUCUACCAAGGAACGCCACUCCAACACGUGCCCUUACUGCCGCCACCUGCUAUACCACGGCCUCCAUCACACCACUAGCCUACUAGCAAAGAGCAUCAACAGCACGAUUCGCUGCGGUUCACAUCGCAGUCACCUGCCCGCCGUUCUAUUCAGCAGGCACAACGUCAAAAAAAAGACACCAAAGGCAAAGAGCAAAACUAGCGAGAGCGCACCGUCCUACUAUAUGUCCUGACGACACCUCUGGCGAAGGAGCAGCCAGGCCCGCAGACACAAUGCAUAACUAGACGCAGUCCAUCACGUCAAACUGUCCGACAACGCUCCCUCCGAAUGCGCCAUCCAACCGCAUUGGAGAAGCACGAGAGUCCAGGUAGUACCCAUAGACCCGCAACAUGGCAACCGACUGCCAAACCGCAGAUAAAAAAAUUUAAGAGCAUGACAACAAACACGAGCAUUAAGCAUGUAUCAAGAUAUCCCACUCCGCCCCUCUGCAUCCUUUCCAGCUUCACUAGGUCAAAAGAGGAGCAAGCAAGCGACCCAUAAACCCUUCAAACGCUACGCCAAACGAUGCCAUACGACAACUAAGAAUUGGCGUUCGUGUUGGCGGGCUUGAAGAAGGCGUACAGUCGCGGGUACACCACGUCAAAGUAGGCAAACACAGUCUUGAGUGCCAGCUUGCUGCAUGGAGCGCCCUCAAUCAGGUCACAUGUGGGGGUGCCGCCAAAGGCGUACACCCGACCGGACACAUACGCCAAAUCAUCCCUGCAAAAUCAUCAAAAGGACGUUACGCGGUGGCGGGACCGGGAAGCCCCAGUGAAUAUGGGUCGAAAUGUCGGCGCAGUACAGCUUCUGGCCGCCCUUUGGGAACACAAGAAUAAGAAUUCGGUUGGGGGAAGUUACUGGAUGCUAUAUGAUAGACGGGGUCGGUUCACUGCUAGGUGUGAGCACGAGCCUCGGUUACCUACGGAGCGGCCUACCCCUGCGUUCCAACCAAAGAAAAGAGAGUCCCGAGUGAAAGCGCAGCGCUGCGGCCAGGAUCGUGGUCCCCACCUGACUACACAACAGCAACACUGUAUAAACAGCGCCGCAACACAUCCCAACAGCUCUCACCGAAAGCGGGCCUCCGGCAGCGGCGCCUUCUGCACCCAAAUGUCAUCCUGCACAAUGUACUCUUCCACGUCGUACAUCGCCAUGAAAUUCUGGGUACCGUUGCCCCGCUCUCCACCCGCCACAAUAAUGCGGCCGCCCGGCAGCGCCUCGAUUCCAAAGUCACCGCGUUUCGAAAUCAUGGGCGCACGCGGGCUCCAUUGACCGGUAGCAGGGUUGAAGGCCUGUGAUGGCAAUGCGAGGCAGGGGAGUGGAGUCGCACCCAGAUGGACCUCUAGGGGCCGUGUGGAAUUCUGGGAGAGAAGAACCCAGAUGGCCAUUUGAUGUGGGUACCAUAUCGAGGAGCUAGAAAGAAGUUGAUUAGUCCACAGACACCCGCAAUCCCAUCCUUCGUGGGACGCGAGGUGGUGAUGAUGAGAUGACGACGGUAGAGGUGCGAAUCCAUGUGGCAUCAUGGCUUGUCGUGGCAAUGCUGGAAGCGUUCACAAGGCUGUGAAUCCGGAGCCUACCUACCUCCACAGUGUUGAGGAACUUGUAGCAGUAGACCCAGUUCGCAGUGCAGUUCUGCUUUGUGUUGUUAAACCACUGCGCACCGCCCAUCGCAUAGAUGAUGUUGUCAAUGGACACGGCUCGACAGUCGCCACUGUGGGGAAGCAAGGGGGAGUCAAGGACGGCACAAUGCACAGCGGCGCGCCAGAAACAAGGAACAGGGGGAUUCGCGUAUCGUCACACACACACACACACACCACUACGUGCACAUGCAGGGGAAACUCCUCCACGAAGGUUUGUCCCUCCUCCUAACCUUCCCCUUGUGCCUUACCGCGCGUCCAGCAGGUUGCUUCUGGCGGGGAGCUGCGUGCACACGGCCGGCGCGGAGCCCGCGGCAGUGCUUGGGUCGCAGACCUCCACAGUGGAGAGGCUAUUGCCGUCGAGAUCAUAGCCGCCAAACACAUACACCUUGCGAGCCAAAGGAGAGCGCAGCGGAACCGAGACUAAGUCAACAAUGUGACCCUGCUUGCGCAAAGACUGUGUAUCCAGACAAGACGCAAGUCCCAAGUCGCAUCCAAACUGCCAUUGUGUUGCAUGAGCUCGCUGCCGUCACGCAGCGGCGGAAACCGAGCAAGUUGACUGUCCUGCCACCCAUGUCGCCAUCCCCAAAAUUCCUCUGUUAAGGACAGGUCCACACGGACUCAAAUGCCCUGCGGGGCUCACCAACUCCUAUGGAGGCGAUACAUACAUACAUGCGCACCAUCUGAGGAGCACCACCGGGUCCGCUGGGCCCAGGCAGACCGACGCACCUUUCCGUUAGCGGCGGCCCCACACGGGUCUACUCGGGGUGUCUGCAGCUGACCAAUGGGGCUCCAGCUGUUGCCGGAAAUGUUGUACACAAACACCGUGUUAGUUGGUGUGCCCUUCUCCACGUCGCUGCUACCGCCCAUGACGUAGAUUUGGCCGUUGAGCUGCGCGUAGGCGAAGCGGUACCUGCGUAUUUUUGCCAGGGGGCGGGUAAGCUUGCGGACAGGGGCGGAAGGGGUGCCCGGGAGGCGCAUGUGUGUUUCGCGCCCUUGUUCCCUGUGUGCAUCAGGUCUUGUUGACGCCAUGGCCUCCCCACAGGCCAUGGCGUCCACCCCACAGGGCCUGACAGCCGAGUGACCUAACGAAUCUGCCGUACCUGGCCUCCGGCAGCGGCUUCAUCUCGUACAUUAACCCCGUUUCUGUGUCGUACUGGACGACAGAGCGAAGCACCGUGGCGUUGGAUCCGUUAAACGCGGUCAAUCCCCCGAUCAGGUACGCGUACUUCUGGUACGAGAUGACCUGCACAAAUAUUGCAUAGAUACCAUUGCGGUGGAAAAAUAUGAGUGAAAGCCAUAGCCACGUUGGUAUUGCAUGUUGUUGGGGAUUUGGGGGUCUCGACCGUGGGUUGACACGCACAGUGGUAGGUUCGUUAGGGCACAUGCAAACUUCGAGUGAACAAACUAAAGAGACAAUAGUUAGCUAGUCUUAGUUUUAAAACGACGCACCGGCAGUGCAUAUCGGCAGUGUGAUUAGACUGCCUGAUAGGGUCAGGAAUUCAUGCCUCGACUGGGUGGCCGUUACGCGGUUCUCCUAAGAUGGAGCUAUCGGCCAUACUGCCCUCAGCCCCUUCCCCUGAAGCGCUAGGCAAGAUAAUCCCAUUCGUCUUACCCCAUGAUCGCUACGCGCAUGAAUCAUGUCUGCGGCCGGGCUCCAGUAGCCGAGACCGGUGCCCAGGGAGAACACUGAGUAUCCAGCAGGCGCGGUUUUGGGGUCGGAAACCAGAACGGCGUCUGAGAUGUGAAUGGAGCGAACACGGGCCGUAGCAUAGCCUCCAAGGAUGAAAGCAAUCACCGCGACAGCGGUGAGCAACAGGAAGUAGAAAAUUGCGCACGCCUUGCUAAGCGCUUGGAGGACUGAAGAGCUUGAGCGGUUUGUAGGCUUAGCAGCAUAUUGUGCCCCUUGCACGGUGCCGUCUAAGCUGUUGAACUGGGGCUGCUCAGCCCCAUUGUAGUAAGUGGCCAUUAGCGCGGCUGUCGAGGCGGCCUUCGGCGGCGGUUGUCGCUGUCCAGCCUUGUCUUAGUAUGUGUAGAAAGUCUCCAGUUUACGCAAACAAUUGGUUAUGGAGAGGAGAGGCUUGUUUAUAUGUGAAAACCACACCUUGAAGUACGGAAAUAUGGCUUGCAUCGACAUAAAUAUCGAAUGCAUCAUACACGUGCUGGACGUUCAUCAAUAAAAAAUACGCACAACUUCGCACAGGAGUGAACCUCGAGCUGUCAGCAGCCCUACCUUAACUCGAUACUAUCCCGGCGAACUGCUUCCAAUCUCCCCCAUCAACAAUCGCGUGUGAUAAUUGCCUCCACCUCUGCGCCGUGAUCCUAUUUACAUCGCUAACCUAGCCCUCUAUCUUCCGUCACUGCCGUUCUGGGCCUUGCAAGAUCACAAGGUCGUGUCGUGGUUUAAAUAUUUGAAACCGAAACAUGAUAACACGGCCAACGCCACGAAUUCCCGGCAAGAACGGAGAAUCAAUAUCUCAGGCCGAGUGAUAGUGAUGGUGCCCAGGGAAAGGCGUGACGCCCGUCGGCGCGUGACAGCCCAAAAGACCUGAAGCUUUUUGCCGCGGACGCUGAGUUGUACUGCGCCAUCCAUUAAUAGGAGAAAAGGGACACAGGCCGUCCUGGCGGGCAGCGGGCAUUUUUUUCCAUCCGGUCAAGCUGUCCCGACCGCUCCACACGGUCUCUGUGGGGCCCUGCACCAAGCCAUCAAGGGGGGCCCACUCACAUUAUGUCCACGAUUGGAUGUCGAACAUGCCUGCAGCUGAGAUCUAGUACACGUACUUUCACAAUUUCCCUGGUUUGGAGUCCAUUAAGACUCGACAGCUUACGCCGUCGCAUCUUCAGGUUGGACAGUUAGGUGCGAAGUGGGCACAGAUCUCUUGUCACGGAAGUCCUAAGACCACACGUCACCAUAAGCGUUGAUGUUCUCGCAUAGUCCACGUCUUCAUUCACCUUAGACGCCCCCAUGCCUUCGGCGUUAUGGGGCUUUUGGUUUGCAAAUAGCCUCUGCACAAGUCUCAACGGAGCGUAACAAACCCCAGUAUUAUGAAGCUCCCCAUGCACUUCCGUGAAAACAUGUAAGAUACAGAAUGCAUACGGGAGCGCCUUGGGCACAGAGCUGUGUCAUGCUUUGUGCUAAUGUCUGAAGGGUCUUGCCAUGAUUACGACUUGGGGCCGAAGUCGCUUGAGUGCCCCCGUCAUUCCCCUGCGCUUUCACGGCAUUCACUGAUAAGGUCGGUGCCACAUCACGCGAAGCAUACGAUCCAUGAGCUUGGAGCAGCAACCAGGCCGAGAUUCGUGAAGGUAAAAACGAAUAAAGGUCGAUAACGAUAUAGGCUAAUUAUCGCGCAGGGUUUGCCGUAUCUUCAAACCUGAGUAUCCGUACAAGUUCUGCCCGCCCACGCUGAAUGUGUGCUCAGACUGUUUCAAUAAUGCGUGCUGCGUAUAAAGCGUUAAUCAUUUCUCACAUUCAACUUAAAGUGUCGACUAGCUCUUUAAUGCCUGGAAUGCUAUGCCGGGCGGCCUGAGUUGUCCUUGAUGCUCGUAACCUAGACGGGCUUUGAUCAAUUUGCUAAGCCUCAGUAAGUAAUAUGGGCACAGAUCACGACGAACCACACGACCGCGAGAGGAGCUCACGGAAGCACAAGGAGAAAGAAAAGAAGGAGAAGAAAGAGAAGAAGGAAAAACGGGAAAAAAAGGGUCGUAAAAAAGAUAAGCCGGAGUCCUCGCAGCCUGCUUUUGAGGCCGAUGCAGACGGCGCAAAAGUAAACGAUGGCGAUUCUCCAACUAACUUGCCAUCACCACCUCACAUCCGUGACAUCAAGGAUCGUGCAAGGCGUGGCGGAAGCCCGAGCCGCAGCCGGAGUCGCAGCAGGACACGUCGCGGAAGUCCCGCGCGAGGGGACAAGAAGUCCCAGCCCCAGCAGCGCGACAAGACCAGCCCGCCUCGUGGAAGGAGCGUGAGCCCGGAUCCCGAGCGCAAGUACCGAGGCGGGCGUCGUAGCAAGAGCCCGGAGGACAGCCGACGCGGCGGGGACAAAAGCCCGCACCGCGGUGAUGAUAUUGGCAACGGCAAACGCCGCAGCCGCAGUCCGGCCGGCCGCAGUACGCGUCGAGUGGAUCGCAGCCGCAGCAAAAGCCGCAGCCCGCAAGCCAGACGGCGUGUGGGCAGCAGCCCUGAUGCCAAGCUGCUGCGUCCGACUGCCGCCCGCCGCAGUCGCAGCCGGGAACGAGGGAGGGACCGGGACCGCAAGGAGGCGCGGCCUGGACGAGCCAGCCCCGGCGCGGCACCGAAAGGCGCCUAUGCGAGCCGCAGCCGCAGCCCUGGUCGUGGUGCAAAGCGCCAUGUUAGCCAUAGCCGCAGCCGGAGCCCCCAGCGGGGUCAGAAGCGCCGAAGCAGGAGCCGUAGCCAGAGCCGGGGGCCGGGACGACAGGGGGCCGCCAGCAGAAGCCGCAGCCGGGGCCGGGCGCGCAGUCCGGAGAGCAAGCGUGCGCGGAGCAGCAGUCCGGGCAGACGAAAAGAGCGGCCCCGUCGGGAACGAGACCGUGAGCACGACAAGGACCGGGAAAGGGACCGAGAUCGUCGGAAUAAAGAUCGUGGUGAUCGGGAGCGCGACAAGGACCGGGGGGCUGAUAAAGAGGAGGUCGAGGAGGAAGUUGGUCGGCGGAGCAAUGGGGAUCCUUCUGCGCGUCUGGCUGCCGCGGCAGUAGCGUCACAGGGCGAGGGUGAUGGCAGCCCCGCCGGUGACGUUGCGGCGGCCGAUGAGGAGAGGACGGGCGGCGGUAGCGGCAGCUCAGCACCCAGCGGAGGCGACGGCAGCGACGCGGCACCUAUGGAGGAGGGCGACGGCGGCGGCGGCGGCGGCGGCGGCGACGACAGCAACAUGCGCCGCGGCACAGCGGUUGCUGAAGUUGGGGCCACAGGCCACCAUGGCCCUGCUGACGACGAUGACGGUGGCGGGCAUUGUGGCAGUCCUGAACCUAUGGACGCUGAGGCACCAGUCGUUGACAACAACGCGAAUGCGGCCGCAGAAGGCAGCAACGGCGGCGGUGUGGCGGCUCCAGGGGAAGACGAGGACGAGCUGCUACCUCCGCCGCCGUCCCAACAGUUGCGGCAUGGCCACGGGCCGGAGCUGCCACCUCACGUGGAGGACCAAGUGCAGGGGGCGCUGGAAGACGUGUACUUUCAGUCGGAACAGUACGGCGUUCCGGAAAUCACGUCCGUUCCGGGAGAGCUGGUGGUCAUGUCAGCAGCGGAGGCGGAGACGGAGGCUAAGCCGUCGCAGAAGCGUUCACGCUGGUCGCAGCCCGUCAAUGCCAUUCCAUCCGGGCUGCCACCGCCGCCGCCGGUGCCAGCGGGCGGGCUGCCCCCAGGGGCUUUGGUUGCGGGGCCUACCGCCGUUGCUGCCUCCGACGUCAACGCCCACGCCACGAUGGCUGAGAUCGACAUAAGCCGCAUGACUAACUGGGAGAUCCAACAACAGUUGGACUUCCUGCGGCAGGAUGCGGCCGCGCAAACCGCCGCCGCCACUGCCGCCACGCUGAUUGCGCGCGCUGGCGGAGGCGCCGGCCUGCGAAAUGUCGCCCCUGGCACCGCGCCCGGCGAGCUGCCGCUGUCGUCAAAAGCUAAGGAGCAACAGCGGCGGGAGCGGCAGCGGAAGCUACAGGAAGAGCUUCGGAGGCGGCAGGCGGAGGCAGCAGCGCAACCGGUGACUGUGGACUCGCUUUUUGAUGCUGACCUGGCGGCGGCGCAGCGUCUCUCUAUUGCAAAAGCCGCCGCCGCGGCAGCGGCAGCAGCGCCGACGGAGGCGGCGGCGGCGCUGGCGGCCGCCGUCGCGGCGGCAGAGGCGGAGGCCGCCCUGGGCGGCGGCAAGGCCAACGUUGCUGCAAACGCCGCCGCCAAAGGCGGCAAGAGCGACGGCGGAUCUGGCCCUGCUGCUACGACUGCAGCUAUUGCAGCGGCAGGGGGCCCUGAAAGCGAGGAGAAGAAGAAGGGCUUCAUGCUAAUCCGCAAGAACAACUUGCUGCCUGCCCGACGGGCGGUGUUCAACCCGGCCAGCAAGACGCUGGCGGCGGCGGCGGCCAAGGCGGAGGAGGAGGCGGCGGCCAAGGCGGCGCUGCUGGCGGCGGCAGCAGCCAAAAGUAAGCAGCUCUUCCAAUAUAAUGGUUUCCGCCGAGACAUGGAAAGAAGCUAAAACAACCUCGUUAGCAAGCCAUCGAUAUGGCUAUAUCGGGGUCUUGCAGCCGGAAGAUCCCAGUGUGAUCUUCAGACGAAAUAUAGCCGUGCGCGCUAACGCAUUUCAUAACACGCGCUGACGAUUAAGAAAUGGCAUUAGGCAUUAGGAUGUUUCCGAGCUCCGGCGCCCCAACACCCAAUACCUCCUCCUACCUGCUCCGGUCCUGGUGCCGUGUGAUUGCUCCGGUUGCCCCUGCCCCUGCGCCCGGGGACCACGGUUCCCCUCUUUCCCCCCUUUGCAGCGGCCGCCGCGGAGGCCGCCUUUAUGGAGUCCAUGGUAGAGGAGUUCAUGGCCUCUACCAGGAAAGCCGACGAGGCCGGUCGUACAGCAGCGCCAUCAGCCGCGGCGACGGCUGACGCCGCCGCCGCUGCAGCGGGGGCCGGUGAGGAGGACAAGGAGUACGAGAUCGGAAUUGACGAGGAGGACGACGGUGCGCCGCCUCCGCCACCGCCGCCACCACCUCCACCUGCGCCUGGGGGGGUAAGUGCGAGGGCCCGCCCUUGCGGCAGUGUUGAGGGGGUGUAGGGCUCCGAGCUCCCCCUCCCUCCGGGGGAUGCGGCCCCACAGGGUUGCACCGUGCUGUGUGGGUGGGUGGGCAGUGUUCGAAUAUUGUGGUCCUGAGGGCGCCUCCGCCUGAAGCCCACCUAUGGCAUUUUCCCACUCGCAUUCCUAUUCGUAUUUCCCUUGUAUCCCUGUAAAGUGAUUGUCCGAUUGGGUAGCCCCCUGGCCCGACUGCUGCUUGGCUCCCCAAAAUGAUUUGCAGUCACAAGUUCGAGACACUGUUGUGCAGCCCAUUCAGCUUAUUCGUGCUUUAUGCUCCCUUUCCUCUGCCUGCCUGCCUGCCUGUCCCACUUCCUUAGACGUUGUCUCGUCUAAACCUUGUCUCAUGUACAAUCUUAUGAUGCCGCCCUCCCGUGAGCAGGCGCCGCCAGCACCGCACUGGCCGCCACCUCAGCAGCCGUACGCAAGUGCGCCGCCGCCACCACAGCCCCAGUCUGGGCCCUACCCGCCAUCGCAGCCCCCGCCGCCACAAUACAUGCCCUACCCGCCACCGCAGUCGCAGCAUCCGCCGCCACCGUAUGGCAUGCCACCUCCGUACGGCAUGCCGCCACCGGCACCGGGGCCUCCGCACGGAUAUCCCCCGCAGUAUUCGCCGUACGGCCCCCGACCGCCGGCCCCGCUGCCGGGCGUCCCGCCGCCACGUCCGCCGCCCGGCGGGCCGCCACCGCCGGGACAGCACUACGGUCAACCCUUGCCGCCGCCCGGGCAACCGCUGAUGCAUCACCCCGGGCCAUCGGGCCCACCGCCACCGCCUUGGGCAGCGCCCGGGGGCGGCCCACCGCCGCAUCAGCACCAGCAGCAUCAGCAGCAUCAGGGCCCAGGAGGGCUUCACCCCUUCGGUCCCAUGGGGCAGUUCCGACCCAUGGGGCCGUCCGGAGCAGGGCCGCCACCACCGGACGGCCCACAUGGCCCACACCAGCAUUUCCCGCAGCGCCCGCCGCCUCCGCAGGGCCCCGGGUUCCCACUUGGGGGGGGUCCACCACCACCGCCUCCACCCAGGACCAUGCACCCCGGUGGCCAGCCACCCUUGCAGCAACAGCCGCCAUCGCACCAGCCACCACCACAGCAACCGUAUUCUCAGGCACAGCCGCCCCCGCAGCAGCAGCAAUAUCCUCCGGCGGAGCAGCAGCAGCAGCUCCCCCCCCCUCCGGACCAGUUGCAGCAGCAUCUGCCACAGCAGCAGGAGGGCUUACAAAUUGCACCUCAGGGCCAGCAGCAGCAGCAGCAGCUGGUGCAGCAGCAGAGCUCCAAGGCCUUGGAGAGCCCAGCGGCUGGCACACCCGGCGGCGGCCCGCCGCUGCCGCCUUGGGCGAGUGCGCCUCCGCCGCCGCCACCCCCGCCGAAGGCACAACCCCUGGAGCCUGCGCAGCAGCAGCAAGGCCUGCCCCAGCAACAGCCGCACCAUUGGCCGUUGCCGCCACCGCAGCAGCAGCAGCAGCAGCAACCAUUACCACCACUGCAGCAGCAGCCACAGGGGGGUCCCAUGGGUCAUGCACCACCACCGCAGCCGCCAGCACCGCUCCAGCACCGCCAGCCCCAACAGCAGCCACAGCAGCAGCAAACGCAUCCGGCAAUGAUGAGGGCUCCGGGACCCCACGGUGGGGCCCCUCCGCCGCCGCCGCCGCCAGUGGGCAGCGGACCCGGCAUGAUGAGCAAUAUGGGUCCGAUUACCGGUGGUGGUGGUGGUGGCGGUGGCGGUGGCGGCGGAGCCAUGGGAGUCAUGGGAACCAUGUUCAGCGGCGGCGGCGGCGGCAGCGGUAUCAACAUGGCCGCCGCUGCACCUCCGCCCGACCUGAUUGGCCUCGUGCCGCCGCCGCCACCGCCAAGGGUCGCACCGGGCAUCGAUGCGGGGCGGACUUAGGUGGCGAGGUCGGUCAGGAGGCCGCAUGCGCAAGAUGUCCAUCCUCUUACGCACUUGCAGUAUGACCGCCCUCUCCACACUACGAAUAUGAGUUACGUUCUGCUGGGAACGGCCAGUGCGUGUUGCCCGUCCUUGGUCUACUGCCACCGCCACCGCCACCUCUCCGGAGAUACCGCGGGCGGCGAUGCGAGGUUGACAACUCACGGUGCCUCUUUAACACCCCAGGUGUGAUCGGUUUGUCCAGGCGAGUUCGUUGCUCGGUUGGAAUGCGUUGUACAGAUGCUCGUGGCAGCGGGCUGUGCGCCACAAAGCGACUGAGCAUGAACAGGCGCGCGCGCGGGCGGGCGAUGUGGCGAUGAGGGUCGUAGUGGACGGGGUUGGAGGUUAGGGUGCUGGUCUUGUGACCGUGUGCGCUCGGCUACUCGCUUCGGGAAGUCUAUAAGGGGGUAGGGCCAGGGUACGGUGCUGGGACGUGAGGGUGGGUACGUGGUAUGUGUGCCCUGUGGCGAGCGGUUUAGUCGACUGGUUGACUGUGCGGCUGCCCAUCCCCCUUUCGGGUGUGGGAGUGGGAGAAUGGGCGCGACGCGAGUGACGGAUGUGGCAGCUGCGGGAGGCGAGGUGCAGGUCCCCGUGGGGGUUAAGGCGGGGGGGGCUGGGGGGGAGGGGUCGAUGGGUGCGGAGGAGGGGGAAGGGGGAAGCGGAGGAGGAACCUGCAGGAUGGACGACAGCCAGGGGUAGGAAAGGAGGUUGCCUGGGCUGCGGCAGAAGUCACAAUUGGGUUGGGUUGUCGGACGCGCCGUGUACCGGGAGUCCUUCUCACCGGUCCUGGAUGCGAAUGUAGGGGUGAUGGUGCUCAGAAGUUGCGGACCUGGGGGCGGUGGCCGUUUGAGCAGAUGGGGUUGCUGCAGGGCGGCUGGUGAGGUUGCGGGGCGGUGCACGAAUGUGCUCGGGGCCCAGCCGGGCAUUUCAGGAGGAGAGGUGCCAUCAGGUUGACCGGCUGGGGAGGCUGCAGCCUUCAUCACCAUCGCCCGCAGGACUCUCACACGGCACACGGGCGCGGGCGCACGGGUAACGGACAUACAUACCUUCUGUGCGGGGGAAGUCCUGCGUGGUUGCUGCUCUGUGGUUGCUGUUGUCAAAGGGCAGGGAGCUGGCCACGGCGCGCUGGCGUUGGCACGAUACCCGUCUGAAGCCAGAGGCAGCCGUCGCGGCGGCGGAUGGUAAGGUGGUCAUCAGCCUGAGGGAAGUCACGAUAGCUGUUCACUAGCAGGGGCAGGGGGCUUGUCGCCUCGGUGUGUAGGGGGAAGAAGCAUCUGUCCGGCCUGUGCUGACAGAUCACAUACAUAGGGCCGCACCGGACAUAGGCGGAGGGGACUGUUCAGACGGGGAUGUCCUUGUCGACCUCGAGGUGCAUGGUGCUGGCGGUGAAGGUGCAGAGCUAGGAUGCGGGUCAGUCGGCUGGUGGCUGCUCUGUCUGCCUGUGCUUACUUCUACAUUCCUGGAUCGAGUCAUUUGUCGGGGCCAGGGACCUAUCGGGGGCUUCGUUGCGAGACGUCCGUGCUUGCGCGUCAGGCCAGAAGCCGCCUUUUGGCCAAAGGCCUCGUUGUUCAAUUGCGGUUGCCGGCUAAUAUUCUUUUGGUCAAUCGGACCGGACACAGGAGGCAUAUGGGCAAUUUCCAUGAACAAGCGACGUGGCUGGAAUGCAAAGCGCAAAACGACGUGCACGCUCGUGUGUGUAUGUGUGUGUGUAUGUGUGUGUGUAUGUGUGUGUGUAUGUGUGUGUGUAUGUGUGUGUGUAUGUGUGUGUGUAUGUGUGUGUGUUGUCCUGCUUGCCGUUCCCCGGUUCGUGCUGAGGCACAGGGAAGUGUCCGCUCCGGUUCGCCUAAAUAACUACUUUAAAAACCUUCUCCCAAGGACUCGCAACUUUCGUUGAGAUCCCAUGCCUUAUCAAGGCUCCAGAGUACUGGAAGCGUGGGCAGGCAAAUCCAGGCGCACUGGAGUACAGGCGCUGACAUCACACCUCUGGUCCGCUGGUUGCGGUGCGCCAUCGAGGGCCGUCGGCAGCUCCCAAGCCAAAGGGAUGAUGGCCCUUUCUCAUCUCGCACGAUGCCGUCCUGCACGCGCUGCUGAGAUCCGUAUUGGGCUACGGAAGAGGGACGUAUGGGACCCCAUAAACAACGGAUUAUAACGCGGGCCUCGUAAAACGGAUUUUUUUUACAUCACACCUGUUCCUGCCAUACACGAGUUUCAUAGAGUUGUAGAGGUCAUCAGGCAACGCCCUGUGCAGGCAGUGAGCCAUGCAAUAACAACAGAAAAAAACUUCAACAAAUCUGCAUAUGCAUUUAAACCAGGGGGAACGCAUUGCUCCGGCAUUUCACCAGCCAAGAAAAAAACAGAAGCCCAUCCAGCAAACCGAUUGCGCCGAAACAGGGGCCCCUGCGAACAGAACACGUCAUUCCGCAGAAAUUACCAUUCAUGCACCCGCUACAGCUGUUGCCAAAAUGCCAAAACUGUUCAGCAGCACAUCUACUAGUUUGCCCUCAGGCGGGGCCCCACGUGGAUGGGCGCGGCGGCGGCGGCGGCGGUCCUCCGCUAACCGCGUCUUCUUCACCUUACCCUGGCCCCUCCCAUUUCCCUCGUCACAACUCAGAGGCACACGCAUGACUAGAAAACCACACAAAUCACAGCCUGCUGUGCAUGCCCCCCGCCACCACCAGCGUCUCCCCUGUCACGUAGGCCGCAUCUGGCGACACCAGGUACGCCACAGCUGCCGCCUGCUCCUCGGGCCGACCCAGUCGCUUCAGCAGUGUAGCCUCAGCCUGGGCGGAAGCCUGGAAAAGUUCGGGUUUUGGGUUGUGGAGGUGGGAUCUGUGGUUCAAGCCGGGGGACGAGGUGGCCAGUUGGCCGAUGGGGGACUUGCGGCAGGCUAGCAAAGUGGGACGAGUUGCUGGUGCUGUGGGUGCUACCUGUGGGUGCUACCCAUGCCCAAGUUCUGUCAGGAGCACGAAACCCGGUCAAAGGUAAGCCUGUGACCCAAGCACAACAUCUUCAGCGGUUGCAACUCUACUGCUCACCCGCAAAGCCUUACCAGGUGAACAGGCCCCCUUCCAUGGCUUCAGCCCACUCCGCAUCGCAACCCCAGGAUACAAUCUCAUCCGCCUCCUCCACCUCCCCAAUAUCAGGAUCGGCCCCCUCGUUCCCCGCCCCAUCCUCAUUAUCGUCUCCCAGUAGCCCCCCUCCAACACAAUAAAAAAACACGCACGCCCCAGCCCUUCCCCCUCGCCGCCCCGCGGCCGUUCCAACUUCCUCUUCCCCUCCUAACCCCACGGAAGCCCCCAUCACGCCUCCAACCCCCCUCGCACCCACCAGCUCCGGAGUCUGCACCAGGGCCGCAGAGAAUUUGGUUGGCACGAUACCCGGAGCCACACAGUUCACCCGCACCCCUCGGGGGCCUAGCUCAGCUGCCAGGCCCUUCGUCUGAAGAAAAAGGGAACCAGCACCGGGGGGGGGGAGGUAAUAAGCGAUGGCGAAGGGAAAGGAUAGGGAGCCAGGGGAAAUCGAACCGCGCUGAACGACGGGGACACGGAAGUCUUAUGACCCUGUGGUAUUGGGUCAUAGAAACACGAGAAAGCGGUAAUCGUUGGAGAGCCCCCCCCCCCCAAGGCAGCGGAAGCGCAUAUAAGGAGCGGCCUGGCCCCCUGUUCAAGGGGCCGGACGGAAGGAGGCAAACAGUGUACCCUGCCGCCUCCGGCAAGCAAGCCCUCCCCCGAUCACGGCCCUCCAGCAGAACCGAGUGUAGUGACUUCACCGCUUUCACCGUCCCGAUCCUCACCAAUCCCAGCAGUGCGGUCUUGGACACGGCGUACAUGGCGAUGGGCUCGGGGGGACUGGGAGGAGGUCACGGAGCAGCGACCGGAGGAAAAGGUAAAGCAGGGGGGGGAGCAGGAGGACAGGUGUUCGAGUCAGCACGGGACCGCUGGGGUAGAGGAGGAAAAGGUGCACAAGGGCCCCAGCCGCCACGCCAAGAAGGAAAGCGCUCACGAUAUUUUGCACAACGGCAAGCCAAGCAAUCGAAGUCAAGUGUGUGACGCGGAGCACAGCAUAUCCCCUUGGAGGCGAUACGCUACUGCGGUCCAAUGGCCGUCACCCAUGUCGUCUGCGAAAUGACCUCCUGGUCGUGCAGGGUUGCCACCACUACACAUGGGCCCCUCUCUCCUACUCGACCUCCUCCUCCCCUGUCCCGCCCGCCUGUCAGCCCCGCACCCGCAGCCCCCCCACCUGAAUGCGGUCACUGACGACACGAACACAAUGGAAGCCCCAGGUCUCUGAAUUAAGUGGGGCAGAGCUUCCUGGACGAGCAGCACCGCCGACUGAAGGGGGGCCGAGGGCGGGGAAGGGGGACGGGGCCCCGGCCACGGAGGGUGUGCCAUGUCAGUCAGCAUGAACACGAACAGGCCAGGGAGCAUGAAGAGCAACAAGACAGUGGGAAAGCUCUGGAAGUACGGUAUCCGGGAGACCCAUACACACAGACCCGUACUCCCGUACAGCUUUGCCCACUAACCCCCCUCUCUCCCCCCUCCCCUUGUCUGGCCCCCGGCUGCAGCCGGCGCUGCCCUGUCCCGACCCCCCCCCACCCCCCGUCUCCAGCCCCACUAACAGUCCCACCCCGCCCACCUUGAUGUUGAUGUCCAGGAUCUUAUCAAUCACGUCUGGGGGCGUCUCCGCCAGCGGCCCCGCUCCGGGGUUCACCGCCGCGUUGCUGACCAGGAUGUCCAACCCGCCGUACCUCUACAAGGGGGAGCAGCGAGCAAGUGUACGACUGCGUGGUGUGCGACUGAAACGAAACGAAUCGUGUUACAUGUGUGUAUUAGCGGGGGAUGUCGUUCACGUCGACACACGUCCAUGCACACCAUACAAUGUGUAUGGUGGGGGACGUCCGCCUGUCUCUGGCUCAGAGCCGCUGCGCGUCCCCUCAGUCGGUCUGUUGACAACUCGGUUGGCCACCUAGCCGGAUGCACUUGGGAAACACCUUCAGCUGUGACCUACCACUCCCCCGAGCCUGCAACCCCCUAAGUCCCCUCCCCCUCCGUGUGCGUGUGUGUGUGUGUGUAUGGCCAGCUCUUUUCCCAUCCCCCCACUCACCUGCACGCACUGCUCCACCAGCCGCCGUCGCUGCUCCGCGCUACCCACAUGGCAGGCACAUCCCGACACUUCCAGACCUAGGUUCCGGAGUGCCGACACCGUCUCAUCCACGUUGGACUGUUUCCUGAACGCCAUCCGUGUGGGUAACAAAGGGGAUGGGCGGAAUUAUAAAGACGCAUAAGUCCAAUUUUGAUAUUUAGGGAUGGUGGGAGGGUAUUGGAUAGGAAGGCAACACCCAAAGACUCCGACAUUUGUCGGUUGGGUUGGAUGAGGCAGGUAGUGGCCUCCCAGCCCGGUGGCUGCUGGUGGUGGCUAUUGAUAUCUUGGCGCGAUAUCACCCCCCGAGGUAGUGGUGACGACGGGAAUUCCGUGCAUUGGGUCUACGCACAAGGUGUGCCUCAUGUUCACGAGUAUUUUAAUUGCUCAUUGCGGCUACAAGUUGCGACAACGGGGGAGCCGCAGAUGGUCGACAGAAGCGGUAGAACGACCCCAUGGAAGGAAGGGAUAGCGCAGAAACCCAGUUCGCAAAUCCAUUGUGCGCUUGUGGCCCACCUUACCUGCUGCAAAUAAAAACAUUCGCACCCUCCUGCAGGCAGCACGAAUAUGAAGUGGUUCAGCGAAGGUCACAAAGGUCGGGGGCCUCAGGAGACUAGUGUCCACGACAGCAGCGGGGUCAUGGGGCCGGGAUUACCGCCUUUCGGAGGAGAGGUUGCUGCAAACCUGCCUAAUAGCUGGGCUGCCAUACCUGAGCAAGUCGCUCAGCGAUUGCAAGGCCAAUGCCAGCCGUGGCUGCAGUUACGAGAGCCACUUUGCCCUCCAGCCGUUUGCACUUUACAUCGCCCGCAGAUGUGCUCAUCCUCUGCCAAUAAAUGUUUUUACCGGCAAUUGAAAUGUAUGAAGGAUGAGGCUUAAAACUUGCGCUUUGGGCAAGGGAUGCCGAAAAUUGAGACCCCCUUGUAAGAUUCCAGCUGCGCUUCCUGACAAUCACUAUAUUGAUUCAAACUCCUUGAGUUGUUGGUAUGUUGUAAGGUGCAAUCCUGGGGAACAAGUCAUAAUCUUGUCCUUGCCGUGCAAGUGACUAAUGCAGAGCUCAACGGUUUAUAGGAUAUUACAAUACUACAAAGACCAUCAAAGGUAAGAAUCUGACGCUGCAUCAGCGUGUACUUAUGGCCUGUAUUCUUCGUGGUGCGCAUCGUUGAGUCUAUGCUUGCAAAACCUGUUUCCACCCUCCUUCGCCUCGGUCACUGCCUCUUUAAGAGCGCGGGGACACCGGUUGUGCCAUGAUAAAGCGGAUACUAUUUACAGAUUUAGCUUUCAUCCUAUAAGGUUGUCCUUGCUGUGAUGCCAGCUUGACGGUUAUCCUCUCGGUUGAGAUAUGCUAACCGCUACCUGCGAUUUCACCAAUCGCCAUCCAAUGGAGUCGCAAGGUCAUUCACCAUCUUAGAGCUUAAAUGAUUUAAUAAAAUAACUAAUGUUAUGUGCACCUCUGUAAGCGGUGGCGCUUACAGUGAAUUAGCUUUUGGAGUACGGCUGUAGGCCAACCAUCAACCACCCGGGCAUUCCAGCUGCGAGCACUUGGAGCUUCUGCCCAGAUGUUUCUCACAGGUCCUUGCAUACAACUUAAUUUUUAGGAUCGUAGAUGAUGUUCGACACCUUGAUCAUUACGCGCCAGCUGUGAUUUCAGCAUCGCUUUAGUGGCAGGGACUAGAGAAGCAAAGCUUUGACGCAUUCAUUUGAGCGAUGCAUUCGAGAUUCUACGUCUCUAUACACUAUAGUAGUUGCCAAGUUGCGCUGACCAAGGCCUAAUUAUGCCACUAAUGGAAUUUAAAGAUGUAAAAUAAUCAUGAAUGAAAUGAUGUUAAGCGUCUUGAGUUGAUAACGAUACUAAGGUAGCAUGUCAGCGCGUCGACCAUCGCGCGGGUCGGCAGAAGGGGCAACAGCGCUAACGCGCAAUAAUAGCCUGUCUGGCCUUACAGAGGAAUCAAUCAAGAGCGUAAGCGCAAUGACAGCGCGUCGACGACCCUUACUGGCCACUGGCAUGAGCUUGAACCCACGCAUUUGCAACGUGUAGGCCACACAACGCUUUGACCUUGAAAUAGUCUUCAAGCUCUCGUGGACAUACAAGGGUGCGCGAAUUUGUCGAGGCGGCUCUCGUAGACCGACCCACCGGGACGCCCCUUGUGCUCCCGCUCACACAGCCCCCUCCCGUUGCGCACAGGUCUCAUUCGGUUGUCCGGUCUGGACAAGUGCAUCAACCUUGUUGAGCUGAACCUGGCAGGCAACCAGAUCUCCAAGUAAGCUCGCCUUCCACUCCAGUAAUACUUGCACUGAGCACUCCUCCUCAGUCAGUGAUCCCAAGCCCAUCUCUACGCGAAACCUUUGAGGCACCUCCUCAGCCCUUGAGGCACCUUCUGAUUCUACCUCCUCCCUUUUCGCCCUCUCUACGGCCUGCGGUGCUGACUUCCAUCCACAAUCAACUGCCCCACUCGCAACCAUCACUGCUCCCCGCCGCCUCCUCCUCCUCAGGAUCGAAGGCCUGGAAGCCACCUUACAGUUGCGGCGCCUCAUCCUCACCUCCAAUAAGAUAUCGGCCAUUGAAGGCAUCUCCCACCUUAGCCGCCUGGAGGGCUUGUGGCUGCAGGACAACCGAUUGGCGUCCCUGGAGUCUCUGGCCCUACCUCAGCUUGCCCAGCUGCCCGCCCUGCGCAGCCUGUACCUGCAGAACCUGGAUCGCCUAGCGCCCAACGCUGUAUGCCGUACCCCAGGCUAUAAGGCGGCAGUGCUGGCGGCGCUGCCCAACCUGACCAACCUUGAUGGGGAAAGGUGAGGCCGCCAUAGAUUUGCUGCCUUCUCCUCCAUCUCCUCUCCUUUGACUUUUCCUGGCCCCCUUCACCACUCGCCAACUGAAUGGCUAGGUCUCCGGCGGCACUCAACUAUGCGGAACUCGCGGCCGAGUACGACGCCUUCCGUGCCAACCCCGUACCACCCAAGCAGUGGGUGGUGCCUGAUGUGGCUCCCUGGCUGGCGGGGGUCAGCCAGGAGGUGCCCAUGGGGGGCGGUCCGGGGGAGGUGGCGCUGCAGCAGCGACAUGCCAAGGUGAGUGGGCCACACAGGGGGUCAUGUGGAGGUGAGGAAAGGGCUCUGGGGAGAUGCAAGUGGGGUGGGCGGGUGGAUGUGAAGAGAGAUGAAGGCCGUACAGGUGAGUCUAGUCCUGCGUGUGUAUGGGUGGGUAAUGGGGGAUACAGAGGUGCCUGUUCGUCUGUAUGUGAGUAGGCGGUCCGUGGCUUACUGUGUCCUCCACGGCACGGACGGGAGCUUUGGAGGGAGGCGGCAGACGCUAGCUUGGUGCAGCAUCGCGUUGGCACUGUUCGAUGGAAACAACAAAAGCUGUCACAUCAUUGAGACAGGCCGUUGCUCCACGCAGCAGGGGGCCCCACGAGAUCAUUCAUGCACGGGCUGCGCACAGGGGAAUUCUAAUCUGUUGUCGCGGUCGUCUAGGACCUCGCUUUGGCCCCUUCCUCCUCCCUGGGGUGUUCACAUCCGUACCUGACUACAGCUGUUGCCGCUGCGCUUUGGGGCGGCCCCCUGUGUAUCUGGCCAGGUGGUCAAGGUAAUAGACGAGUGUGAAAUGCUGGUGCGGGUGCUGGGGGAGGAGAUCGCCAAGUUCGGCCGGCAGGCGGAGGCCAGGAAGAGCAGUGCCGUGGCGUCAUGAUGAAUGCACGUGAUAAGGAGAGGAUGCGUUACAUUGCAUUAAGGCGGGAGUUACCCACCCAUCCACCCGGGCCAUAGCGCAUCACAGCGCGCAUGGCACCUCUCAAACCGAGUGUUAGCUGGUGGUUGGCUGCAUGAGGCCGCGGCGGUGUUCCAAUGCGGGAGGGAGGGAGGGAGGGAGGGAGCCGUAAAAGGGGCGCAGAGGAGAGUUGUAGCCCGCGGCGUGGAUGGCUCGCCUGGACUGCUCUGGACUCUUGCCCUCUCCCAGAUCAGCCAUGGCCUGUUCUUUCGGUGCUGUGGCCCGCUUGACCGCGCCUCCGAUGAACUGCUUCACCAAGCUGCUUGAAUGGGUGAACAAUCCAGACUAGAUAGGACUAGAUGGGACCUGAGAGGGCCUCAGCCCGCAAAAACCCUCAGACCCGCCAUGAUUGAGGUUUUUAAUUUGCCAGUGGUGGUGGUGGGCCAGUGGUGGUGGGGUUGCGGAAGCUGGUGCAGUCAGCUGCCUAGUAGUGCCAAAGGAUGUCCUGGUGGGUGCGGAUGCGGCUGAAUGGGCUGCGUGCUGGCUGCUGCGCGCCUCACGCAGCCCUGGAUGACACUUGGAGAGCCCAUCAGCCAAAACCCCGGUGGUCUUUGUUCAGCGGGCGCCAUAACGAUUGAGAUACAGUGACUGUCGCCUUGAAGAUCCUGUGAAUGGCGAUGGUCGAGGAUGCUGCGUGCACGGACGAAGGUGAGGAAAGUCUGUGUGAUGAUGUGAUGAACCUGCAGCAGGUUCCCGGUGGGAGUGCGUCCAUGUCCACGCCCUCGUUCUUCGUGAUAUCUCCCCGUCGAACCUUCCAAGGUAGAUUGUGCGGCUCCGAGGGCGAGAAAACCUUCGUGUGUGCCGUGGUCAUAGCGUACGGAACUUGCCUGUCCAUUAGCCAAUGCAUGGACGAGAAGCUCAAUAUCUGUACAUAAUCUGUACAUAUUAUGUGUUCGUCACCCGGCUGUAGGCUUGGCUUUCCAAGCCCAUAACUCUCCGAGCAGACCUAAAAGCAGGGCGGGGACGUUUCCAAGGCAGCGAUGCAAUUUACAAUGCGCCUCUCUCUCUCCCCACACACCACCUCUGGGCCGUCGAGGGCUCACAGCCCGCCACGUGCAGACACGUCGAGUAACGAGACCGAGUAACAUAAGCGAACAAUGUAUCAUCUAUAUCUGGGCUGCCUUAGAUAUCCACACUCCGCAUGAUCCACAUAGGCAGGCAAACACGUUGCCGCGUCCGUUCAGAACCUGCUACAUUCCCACCACAUCCCUACGCAUCGGGCCCCGCCUUCAUGCGCCUCCCCGGCACCUUCAGAGGCUGCGCUAGCAAAACCCAAUAUGGUCUGGUGACUCUGCAGUCAUGUCUGUGCCGUCUGGAUGCGCGAUUUACGAUUUGCGAAGUCACCUCUGCCAAAAUCCACCUCCCAUAUCGAUGUAGACUCGGGAUGUGGUAUAUGAUCUCGUUCACGCUGUGCCCCCGGCAGGACUUCCUUAUGUACCCCCAGGUUGCCCUACCGCUACCGGCAACUCCAACGGCUGGUAGUCCCACAGCCGGCCCAGCAGUGCACCGCGCGCCGCACCCUCCACCACUGGUAGCACUGCAUCAACCACCUGCGUGUUUCCCCCAACACCCAUCAAGGCAGACGGUAGUGUGGGCAGCAUGGACAGGGCAGGCAGUGGGCGGCGUGAAGGAAAGGGGUGGCUCCCGGGAGCAGAUCUGACUGGUUUCGUAACCACGCGCAAGCUCCGCAUGCCGGGCCAUGUCACUGUGUGCUGAAUAUCUACGAGCGAAGUGCGGGGGGGGGAACAUCUCGUGUUUCAUGGGGCCCACACGGACUAUGCACAGCCUUCGGGUAGGGCAGAGUCGCCAACCAGCUGACGGGAAGCAGGCACCGCCAACGUGAAUACCCGCUUUCCAUCCAGGUCACAGCAUGCCUUAAUGUGUACGAGCCUUACGAUAAGCACAGCACCGUAUGCGGUGCAAGUAUCCGGCGGGUUCCCUCGACGGCUGCAUCAUUCGAAGGAGGUCUCGCAGCUUUUCUGAGAAGCAACGCUAACUGAAAUCUCAAGCUUAAAACGCAAGCAUGCAACAUGCAGCUACAUGUUGAGGCCCAUCCAAUGCGAGGCGGCCAAGCAACGCUCGCCGGCCCUUCCGCGAACUGGUCUGGAUUUUAAAUCCAUUAGCUCCCCCCUGUCCAGCGCGUCUUGAUCACAAUAUCCCUUGCACACCAAUGUCCAUACCCGCACAUACAUAUAAACACACACACCUGCUGUUGUAGGCACUCCGGUUGCUGGGUGGCGUCCAAUCGGAGCCAGUGGCUGUCCUUGAGCGCCGCAUAUUGCUGGGCCACCUGCUUCGUAGGGCGACAGGAAAGCGGCAUAAGAAUUGCUGGUGUUACGACCAGGCGGCGCCAAGCACCUCCAUGCGCUGUUAGGAGAGGCUUAGGGGGACAUUACUACAUAUUACUGCAUCUAUGACAUAUGCUCAUAUCCCUCUCCCCCUACGUGUAAACUGAGCUGCGAAAAGGAAGGAGACGAAAAAGAAAUAAAAUGGUAAGCUGGACGUGGGGCAGCCGCUACACUCCUGUUGUAAUGGACAGCGGAGUAACAGCCCCGAACCUGUGACUAUCCCCAAGCUUGCCUUGCGUUGAAACUCCAGCUUCUCGUAGCGCUCUGCGCCAAAGCCGCCUCUUGCGGCCGCCUCCUCGGCCGUCAUGUCCAUGAAUAUUACUAGGUCAGCCGCCGGCAGCCCCACCUCCACCGCUCGGCAGUAGUCCAUGGACAGGUGCGGUACGCCCUUGGCUGCGGUGUACGCCACACCGCUGUAGCUGUAACGGUCCACAACCAACGUCGUGUGGCCGGACAGAAGCCGCAGCAUCUCCUUUCUGACAGUAAGCGGAGCGAUUCCCUAAUCAAUAUUCGUGCAAUGUUUAGUUUUGGGUCGUGUCUAUGGCAUUGGUCGAGGUGCUGGUGGCGCUUAAGGUUGAACAAGGUAAGGGAGAUAUCCUGUGAUGUACGUGGUGGCAGCAGAGUGACAGGUUCCAAGGGAAAGAAGGAGCGUUCAGGAAAGACAACCAACUGGUUCCGGAGGGUCCAUGGUGGAACGCUCUCGUGUCACAACGUGGGUGGGAGGAGGGCUGCACUGCGCACAUGUUGCCAGGCCUAUUUGCGUGCUUUAACGAAUGAUAAGGCAAUUGCGCGUGAUACGCCUUCAACCGCCCCCCUUGACAAUCCCCGUGGUGCCGCGGGCUGCUCACCGCUUUUCAAAACGAUUUGCCGUGAAGAGGAGAUGGAUGGCAGUGUCGUCGUGGUCAGCCCCGUUGUGCAGGUAAUCGUUGAUUGUCUGGCCUAUCCUUGUCGAUCUAUCAGGAAAGCACCAGUGCUCCACCUUAACCUGUCCGACAACCGAGGUGAGCGCCGCAGAUGCCACCAGAGUUUGCAGCCACGCGGCAAAAAGUGUCGCCACGGUCCAGGAACAAGUCAGGGUUUUCUAACCACCAAGUAUAGAACUCACUCCGCGUCUCCUGAGGUGAUCCACAAGCAAGUUGCUCUGUGUGCUCUUCCCACAGCGGUCGAUGCCCUCAAAAACAAUGAAAGCUCCGCGGGAGCGGACCUGUGCACUGACGUCAAGAGCUGAGUAGUUACAUUUCAUCAGUCGGGUGCUUUGACAUGCGCUUUCUCUAAAUGGUGCCCGGGAUAACAAUGGCCAAGUUCUUACAGCGCCCAAUGCCGACAUCCUCCUUGUCAAGGCCCGCAACUACAGGGUUACAGUAUAAGGAAAUCAUAAGCUUUGAUUUGCAUUGAAGAUGUUAAUUUCGCACUCGACAUACUUUGCCAUUUGGUUCAACAAUCGUCGCACGUAAGCGUUACUAAGACGCACGUCAGUUGAUUUUCUUUAAAUUUGCACGAUAUGCCGCCGAUGUCACUCACACAAAGAGAAUUCCAACCGUAAUCAAAGAUCGUCGCUACCCCAUGCGCACGUCAUAAACCACACCCGUCUCCUUGCGCCGCCCUUCAGCCACAGUAUCGCCAUCGCCCCUAGCCCUAAGCCGUUACUCGAGCGGCUUCCGGCAGCACAGCUACCUGCUGCAUUUUCUCUGCCUCUCCAAUGAACACGUCGGCGACUGCAUCCGCCUCCCCGGCGGCCGCCGCGGACUUCUCAUCGGGAAAGCUACUCUGUUGACCGCCCGCAGCUGUUACCACCCUGCGCAACGGGCAACCUCAUUAGCAUAGCUACAGGCGAUGUUUGAUCCAACACUCAUCCCAACAUGAAUAGCCGUUACCGUGAUAACCUCACACGGGUAACUCACGUGGGCAAGUCAAUGGGCUUGUAGUCCCACAGCCGCCCCAGCGCACUGCCCGCAAGCGCACGUUGCACCACCGGCUCCGCCACAGCCGCUACCUAAGUUAGAGGAAAGCACUGGAAGCAAAGUUAGUGUGGAUGAGUUGGUGGGGCCUUGUUACUGCGUAUCUGCAUGGCUGUAGCUUGGGAAGUCUGUUUGCCGUAAAACAAACUCGUGCGGGGUUGACCAUUAAACCUGGGAGCUGGCGGACCAGCGACGGACAGACAGAGCAGCUUGAUUAUGAUAAUGUUGCAACGAGGGACUUUGCUGACAGACUGACCGCCCGGCUGACCUUUUGGUGGAUGUCGUCAAUGGUGCCAGAUGCGUCAAUGACAGCCCAUCGCUCAUCCCGCAGCGCCUCGAAGGCCUUCAUUACCUGCAGCAGCAGCAGCAGCGCCGCAGCCACAGCAAUCAUGUGCUACAUGCCACGGCUAAUGAAUGAAAAGCCACGACAUGCACAGCACUUAGUAGCACGUCUCUUAAGACUGGCCAAUAUGGUAGCGGGCGCGCCAAGGCUAUGAGCACUUAAGUGCACACAUCCUAUUGUCCCCCAGUGCGGCCACACCUCCAUGAACUAGCUGACACUCGGGCGCCUUACCUUCUGUUGGAAAUCCACCUUCUCGUACCUCUCUUGACCGUACCCUCCUCGCGCCGCUGUCGCUUCGGCCGUCAUGUCCAUGAAAAUCACCAGAUCAGCCGCCGGCAGGCCCACCUCCACCGCUCGGCAGUAGUCCAUGGACAGGUGCGGUACGCCCUUGGCUGCGGUGUACGCCACACCGCUGUAGCUGUAACGGUCCACAACCAACGUCGUGCGGCCGGACAGAAGCCGCAGCAUCUCUUCCCUUUGGACGGCGGCGUACAGGGAAAGCUUAUUCAAACCAGACCUCUAUGCUGUGUGCGGGCGUUGCGGGGUGUGCCAAGCUCAGAGCACGCCACACAUAUUCUCCGCAUGAAUCCGCAGGGGAGCCCUGCCAAUACAAUACGCCGCUGACACUAGUGUCAAGUCUUGAAGGAUACAAGAAGAGCCGUCCUUGAGCGCGCUUUUCGACGGGCCCGCUUAGCGACAGACCCGCAGUGUAACGCUCUUCCUUAAGUCACUUCUUAGCCAUGCUAUGGGCCUGCCGCCUGCUCCUGCGAUUUUCAGUAACUUACCACAUGGCCCUCGUCGUCAACUCCUUCAAGCUACCCACAACCGGGAUGCGGAACAAGCCCCUCCGUGAUAAGGCCCUUCCCAACACGAUGACUGCCCCAUCGGCAAACGGCAGCUGGUCCCUCAGGAUAGUGGUUUCCCUCUCCCCACCUUUUCUCCAUUCGGUUGGCGGCAAAGAGCAGGUGGGCGACUGCAUCGUCCAUGUGCGACUGCUCCACCAGGUAGGCGUUGAUGGCCUGGCCAAUGGAGGUGGAGCGAUCUGGAAAGCGCCACAUCACCGCGUCCACCUGGCAGGGCGGCCAUUCAUCGGGCGUGAACACAGGAUGGUGGGGACUAAACACACGGGACGAAUCCUCCAGUCCCACUGUCCCAGCCACAGCCGGCUCCCUGGGCUCCAAAUGAGCUAAACCCGUGUAAGCAGCAGUCGGACGCUAUGUGGAAAGGCAGCCAGGCAAUUCAGUCUGCUUGGAUGUGUCGGCCCAAUGAAGAAGCUCGAUGACGUACAUAGGGGAAAACAGGAGCUUGUGGCUUUUGGACACGGCAGCAUGUGCUCACAGGUAACACGCCGCGGGUGCCAGAGGAUCAUUGUACGGUUAAAGUUAUGAGCUUACCCCUUGGCUCCUUAGCCGCUCCACGAGCUUUCUGCAUUGUGUUGUUUUGCCACACCUGUCACCACCCUCAAAUACAAUGAGGGCGCCCCGCGAGCUUUGCCCAUAGCUAACUUCAGAGGUCAUACUGUUCGAAGUACAAAAUGAAUUCGCGAUGCACCACGGAAUGUAGAACAGACCAAUAAAAGGUUUCUUCAAAUGUUAGUUACGGAGCAUGGAAAUCGGGACUCUAGCAUAGGUUGUAGACGUUACAGCAAACGUAAUGAAUUUGCAAGCGUACGAGGUUCCUGCGGUUUCAACAUUAGCGGUCGGGUAGCCUUGCGCCUAUGCGCGCCACCUGUCGGCUUCCUAGCUCCUGGAUUCGGAAGUCCAUCGCAAGGCCCUCAUGGCGCCGCCGAAAGCAUUUAAUAAUCCACUUCUUUGUUUUGUUAUUUAUUCCCUCCACUGCGGUACUACAUGUAAAGCUGAGCAGCUGGUUAUGCAGCAUCUUUCCCAGACUACUUCGCCGGCAUCGACAAGUUCUGUCCUGGUAAGUGAGAUGCAACUGCUCUAUAGAGCCUAGGAAUGUGGUCCUGUGAUGGCAGUUUAAUCUUUGAGACCUUACGCUGCCUAACGGCGGUGAUGCUGACAAAUAGCUUUGCUGAGGACCGACUUUGACAACUCAGUCUUUCCUCCGUGCGGGCCGCCCAUUUGUCAUGGCGCUGUACCGCCCCUUACCAACUGAGGAUAGUAAUGCUCUGCUGUCCUAACUUUCUGUGCAAGAAUGCGCGGGCUUGGGCACUGGCGCGAUAUAGCAUGAGCCUCUAGUCAUACCUUGACCAUGAGCAGCAGUGCCUGCGAACUAAUACAUUGUUGAGAGGAUGACGAACCAAUCUGUAUCCAACGCUUGAUCAGAUUAUACAUGAUCGAAGUACACAGACGCUGCGUUCUUUCCGACUCUGCCAAUGUUUCUGUGCAUGUGUCUUCAUGUUAUAAGGCCGCAUGUGGUUGAUGAUCUUAUUUAACCAUAUCUUAGGACACCUUCAUAGGGGGUACAGCCACUCCCAAUGAGAGUAACUAUGGUUCUGACACAACGCGGCCGCAAACCAUGGCAUGUGGCAUAAUUAUCAGCGCACGGUUCAACACUGUGCCAUAUGUUCGUGAAGGAUGUUACAAAACUUUCGUUCUACCGAGAAGGGUUGGCUCAGCCACCCUGCGUGGAAACAAUUGGAGACCUGAACUGACACGAUUCGACCUACACUAUCCCUGCAUACAUCUACUUCUGUAUUACCAUGGCAUGUGGCAUAAUUAUCAGCGCACGGUUCAACACUGUGCCAUAUGUUCGUGAAGGAUGUUACAAAACUUUCGUUCUACCGAGAAGGGUUGGCUUAGCCACCCUGCGUGGAAACAAUUGGAGACCUGAACUGACACGAUUCGACCUACACUAUCCCUGCAUACAUCUACAUCGGUUCUUCCUCUUCGACCUGCUGCUGAUCGUUGGUUAAUGCUACCCCUGCAGUGACUUGCCACCUAGCGUGUGCUCAUCGGCUUCGACACGAAGAUCUACCCAGUGUCUGUCCUGCGAGCGCGGAGCCCAGUUCUAUGGCAACUUCUGUCAGUUUCGGCCAGUCUCCUGGGAAGACCAAUUUCGUCCAUGUUGAUGUGCAUCCUGGCGGCAUUGCAUUGGUUACCGUAGCCAAGGAGCCGGUGAACUCCAUGGAUCUGGCGAUGUGGGCGCGUCUCGACCAGGUCCUGAUGGAGCUCGAGACGAAUCCCGCCGUCAACGCUGUGAUAUUCGCUUCGGGCCUAAAGCGUGAUGUGUUCUCUGCCGGCAAUGAUUUGAUGGAACUGUACGCACCCAAGACGACGUCUGAGCGCUACGCAAGAUUUUGGACCACACAGAAUGCCUUUCUCGUGCGUUUAUAUCGAUCCCGGCUUGUAACGAUAGCUGCGAUUCGCGGUGCAUGUCCUGCAGGUGGAUGUGCCAUAUCCUUGUGCAGCGACGUGCGUCUCAUAACACCUGAAGGCGUGAUGGGCUUAAACGAGGUGCAGCUGGGCAUUCCAGUCCCCAAGUUUUGGGGUCUUUUGAUGGGCCGGGUGAUCGGGCCCAAGGUCGCGGAGAGCGUGUUACUGUCUGGGAGGAUGGUGCCCGCGGCUGAGGCGAAGCAGUUAGGUCUCGUGGAUAGUGUCGUGCCGGCUGAUAGGUUGAUCGAGGAUGCACUCGUCGCCGCACGCCAAGCAUGCAAAGCGCCUUCUGCCGCACGUGCGGCAACAAAGGCGUUGCUCCGAGAGGAAUUCUGCAAGGCGUGGGAAGGUUUUUAUCCCACGGAGCAUGAAUAUGGUUGGAAGUAUUUGAGCAGUCCCUCCACGAUUGCUGUUCUGGAGGGUGCGAUGAAACGCCUUUCAUCUAAAGCCGCUCCUAAGCAGGAGGUGGCCUCAAAACUCUAGUCUUGUGCUGUACUUUGUGCUUAUGUACGCUGUAUUUUUUUCAACUGCAGUGACUUGUAUAAUAAUAUGCCCGUCAAAUUUCUGGGGAUUUUUGCUGUGUCAAUAUUAUAAUUGACAUUUUUUUCCUUGGCUGCAUUAUGAACAUCUCAGAUGCAAGUCCAAAUCAUUGAGCUGAGCUAAUUGGUCGGCUCGUUACGCGUACUCGUUUGAUCGUCAUCGUUAUAUGAAAGUAGCAUUCUGCCUCUAAUGUUGUUGCGGGAAUUGUGGGAAGUAGACACACGUUGUCAAUAUAUAAACUUCUGGUGAAUUACCGUUAUACGGGUACCAAUGUAACAUGACUGCAAAGCCUACUCAAUGAAUGUAACAAGGGAUAGAGUAUACAUAUUAACACUAUUGAGCUUCGUUACACAAGAUUUUAGAAACACCUCAGUACAUCGGAAGGUACUUGGAAAAACGUUUAGAUUUCUACAAACCACACUACGAAAUUCAUCAAACCAUACCGUAAGUCGACACUUAUCCUACGUAUUAAUUACCUUGGCUACGUUCAGUAUGAAGGGCCUCCGCCCGUGUAUGACGGGUUGCCAGAAUGUGGAUAGGGGGGUGCAGAUGCCUGCAACUGGUACGCAGGAUAUGGUAACGCAGCAGCGGCACCAAGCUGCUGCGGCUGAUAGUGCAUCUGGUAUGGCAUCUGCCCUUGCUGUGGAUGCAGUUGCUGCAUGUGAGGAGGGUUGCUCGGCUGCUGGGGCUGUGGCUGAGACGCAUAUGGUAUGGACGCUGGACCUGUCAUAGGAGCAUACAUAGGGUUGGGCGUGGCGCCCGGGCGCCCGGGCGUGGCGCCCUGUGGCAGCAUUGCUGUCGCAACGCCACUGUACGUGGCCGGUGGAGGCUCCGCCAAGGACUGCGGGUUAGGUGCCUCCUGGGUCACCUGCCCGGACGGUAACAAAGGUGAAGGACCCGACACCGGCGGGCUUGCAUGGAGACCGCCAGACGUCACCAUUGCUGUGCCCACUGGCGGUAUCGCUGGGUAACUCCCUGGUGCCGGAACAGCCGUCGGACCCCCUGCCGGCUGCGGUGGAUGCACCAGCGGCAACCCACGCAACUGCUGUUGCUGCUGCUGCUGUUGCUGCUGGUCAAUGUCACUCUGUAGCCCGAACUCUUGUUGGCUGCUGUUCUGCGGCACCGAGCCCUGUGGUGGAUACGGCACCGAACCCUGUGGUGGGUACGGCACCGAACCCUGUGGCGGGUACGGCACCGAACCCUGUGGCGGGUACGGCACCGAGCCUUGUGACGGGUACGGCAUCGAGCCCUGUGGCGGGUAUGGCACCGAACCCUGUGGCGGGUACGGCACCGAGCCCUGUGGCGAGUACGGCAUCGAACCCUGUGGUGGGUACGGCAUCGAACCCUGUGGUGGGUACGGCACCGAGCCCUGUGGUGGGUACGGCACUGAACCCUGUGGUGAGUACGGCACUGAACCCUGUGGUGAGUACGGCACUGAACCCUGUGGCAGAGCUGAUGCCUGCGGCGGUGCAGGUAUAGACGGGGCCAAUGUCUUCAGUGAGGCCGGCUGCUGCCCCGGCUGCUGACCCCGUUGCGCACUCGACGUUGAUCCCUGCUGCACCGCCUCCACCGGCAACGCCGCGUCCAGCCCCACCCCCGCUGCCACGAGCUCCUCCUGGAAUUUCUGCAUCAGCGGUUGUGGCAGCGGCGGCGCCACCGGAAGAGGCACAGCGCUGAACGAGCCCGGCGGCAACUCCAGCACUGGUACGUCAAUGUCGUACGUAAACGGCCGCACCUCUUUGUAGAGAGGAUGCUCCACGCGCAACUGGAACCAAAGCGAGCCAUCCGGUGGACCGCGCGACACCCCGCCAGCCAUUGCGGCAGUGGUGGCGGCGGCGCCUUGCAGCAGCGGCCGCUCGUGGAUGUCACACCAGUUGCGUGACGCCUUGAGCAGGCUGUUGUUUUCAAAUAUGCCGCGCAUCUUCUCCCGGGUCAUCUGCACCGGGGAGCACCGGAAGGCCAGCCAGCCUGAUUCAUGUUGUGUGAGCUCCCCGCUGUACUCUGCUGCUCUCAACCUGGGCUCCCAAAACCGAACCGAGACACAGCGGUAGCUAUAUGCGGCCCAAACCCCCGAACCGACCAAACGCUAAUGCGCCCCGAGCUCCCAGACUCGCCGAGCCCCACUACCCCAAAUCGCGCACGCAAGGGACCACACCCUAGGUAGCCACCUACCGCGUCAAGCAUCUUGGAUUUGUUGCUGGCUGUGAGCGUCUUGAUGACCGCAUCCGGGGGUGGCACGUUGCCGAUGGCGGAGCUAAUGAUCUGGACCAUGUGUCUGAGGUGGGGAGGGCAGGGGCCAUGGCGGAACCGGGGUUGCAAAGGGAACAUUCCAGGUCUCUCCGCGACCGCACGCCCCUGUCGUCAGGCAAGGCUACUGGGCCCCAUGCUUCUCCGCCCUUCUCUCCCCGCUGCCCCUCCUACCGGUGGUCGGUCUUGAGGUUGAUCUUGGGCAUGGUCUGGAAGGCCGCCACCCCCGCACAGUGCACAUCGCCGGAGAGGAUGCUGAAACGAAAGCCGCGAGCCUGUUCCCGGGGAUGGAGUGGAGCGGAGCGGUGAGAAAACCAACGGCUCGGUUCAGGACGGUAUGCGUCCGUAAUAGUGCAUGCCACUUGGGUGGCGGCACAAGAGACAGGACAGACCCGGAAUAGCAGCACUCCUUCCCUUCCCCCUCGCGCCCCAUCCAGACCUGCGCGCCUGAGCCUGCGCGCCUGUCCCCCCACCCGAGCCUGCGCGCCUGUCCAAUUGUUUGAGUUGGGGUUUUUUCACUACCGCCCAACCCCCCUCUAGCCUUCCGUACCUUGGCCAGGUCCUGCAUCAUCCUCACGAAGCAGUACUUCUCCAUCUCGUGGCUCCGAGCUGACCAGUGAUCCAACAGGUCGUCAAGCAGCUCAGGCUCACCUGCACGAGAUUGGAGGCCCGGGCGGAGGGGAGGGAGGGGAUGAGAGAGUGCCGGGGUUGCGGUAAUGGUGAUGUGCGCAGGAGAAGGGCAGGGCGACUGUGGGGAGCCACUGCUACUGCUACUGCUACUGCUGCCGCAUUGGUUAGGGCAGAGUCGCGAUCCCGCGGACAUAGGUCCGAGCGAUGUGGUCGUAGCUGCUGCAGGGCGCAAGAAACGACCCGCGGGUCGGCUCGACUCACCGAAGUGGCUGUAAAUCUGGCUAGACAGUCCCGUCUUCUGAAGGAAGGCCGUCAGCGCGCUCACCAUUAGGCCCGUGCCGGCCAGCGCCACUGCCGGGCGGGAGGAGCGGGGCGUGCGAGAUGUGCGGAACGGCUUUGGGUCGGGGGAAGAUGAGUUGCCGCACGUUGUGGCGCUGUGCCGGCGAUAGCUCAGGCAAUGAGGGGAAGAAUGCCAAGUGCCAUCCAAGCCCUCCCCAUGCCCAACUUCUCUCUCUGUCGACAGCCCCGUCCGGCCCUCUCCCCCUUUCCCCUGCUACUUCCGUCAUAUCCCCUGACCCCCAGCAACGUUUCCUGCCCCAAUCAACCGGGCCCCCAGCACCCAACUCAUGGCCUCCUCAAUCCCCGGCACGGUGGGGUACACCAGCGGCACGGUGGCCACCGCCACCACGUGGCGCACGCCGGCAGGCAGCUUGACGACCUGAGGGGGGAACGGGGGAAUGAACCAGGGGGAUGACAGGAGUGGCGAGGUAUCCGGAGGGGCGGGGUGUAACCCGACAGCGAGACGAGAGCCAUGGACAUACAGCUUCGCGUUCAGACGUCAUCGAUAUUCGCUCUAAGCGAGCACCCACGCAGACACCCACCCGCACAAAGUCCUCCAGAGGCAAGAUAGUCACCCACCCACACACCUGGUCGGCGAAGGCAGCCCAGGAGGCUGGUCGGAUGAUCUGUUCGCGUGUUCGCUCACCCCGGCUGUCCAGCCCCACCACAGCGGUGGUGUUGCCCAGCAUCAUCGUCCAGGACAGACCGGUCAGGCCCCAGCCCUGCGCAACAGCCACCAGGUGGAGAGCAGUUAUGGGAGGUGGAAAUGGAACGGCGUAGCAUUCUGGUUCAGAGGGGAGCAUGAAGAGAUCGGGGCCUUGGAAAAGGGAGGGACAGCUGCGCGGCGGAAAGCGGAAAGAAGCGGGAGCGCUACAGCUAAGGCACUCGACCGUCGCGGCCGCACCUUGUUGAGUUCGCGGUAGUUGUUUUCGGCCGCAUGGCACUGGAACAGCAGGUAGAACUUGCGGGCCACAAAGUAAACUCCCGCGAACACGGAGCACUUUUGCAGCUCGGGGGGGUAGGAGCCCCAGCCGUCAAAUAUGUCAUGAUCGUCCCAGGUCAUCACCUGACAGGGGCAGGAGAGGGCAGGAGAAGGGGGCGGGGGCAAGAGGAGGAAGAGGAAACGUGCAGCUGUCAGGGGGCACAGUGGCUAAGAACAGGUUCCAGAACAAGCCGAUGAAUAGAAAUGUGCUUCAGUGCAACAGCAUGCGAGCAACCGGUGUUCGCUGUGUGUGACAAAAACAAGGCUUGCGCGAUGCUGAUGUGCGCGUGUCCCAUUCUUCUACUUUUAGGGCUUCAUUUGCUGCAAUCACAAAGCAACCACGAAACGCGGUUACGAGCAGCAGCCAGAAGCAACCACGGCGCCUGCACACCUGCGGUAUGCUCGCCAGCGCAUCGCGGAACACCUCCUUGCCGAAGUGUGUGGUGUAGUUGCGGAAGUAAAAGUCAAACACCUCGUUGACCAUGUCCUGACUGAACGGGUGCGCGUUGCGGCUGGGCUUGUCCUGGAUGCUUAGCCACUGCGUCCGACAGCGAGCGGGAGAAUCCCCAACCACCAAGUUCCAACCAUCAACCGUCAGUGCGAUCCGAAAAAUCGAGGCAUGAGGACAGGACAGGACAGGACAGUGGCUUGCAUGGCAGGGGAUCACCGGAUGGGCGAUAUCAGGUCCAAGCAUGCGCGUACCGCAUGUGCACGCAUGUGGACAUACAGCAUACAUUACAUACAUAUAGAUGUGUAUUCCAGGUGCCAGAACGCAUUGAUGCGCUCGCACACACAUGAGCCUAUACGCACCUUCACCAGGCUGUCGACCUUCCACACGUCUACGAAAAGAACAGAGGGCCGGGGAGCGGGAGGGAGGGCUCGGGUUAUGCGGGUUAUAAGAGAACAGAAGCAGCACGCUGGAGGAGCCAUUCUUCUCACAGUCCUUCUCCGCAGUCCACGGCCGUUACUGCAGCUAAACUGCCGGUCCGACAAACUGACUGGUGCUACUGGGCAGGCAGGGGAGUGGUCGCCCUGGUCGCCUGGCGCUGUCCGGGCCAUGGUAUAUACGGCGGUAUGCCCCACUACAUCCCGAUAAGGGCCUUGAUCGGACAGUCCAGUGUUUGAGUUAUCAUUAAGCGCACAUCACCCACCAACCCGUGAUCUGUAACCCACCAUUUACUCACAGGCCCCCACCCGGGGCCCCACUACAGCUCCACUCGCGGCCCCUCCUUGGUCCCCAGGAGCUCCACCCCAACGUACCGUCGCAGUAGAGCUGAUCUCCUCCCCCAAACAUGACGUGAAGCGGGUCCCUGGUGUGCACGUGCAUGACGUCCCGCCACAUGGGCUGGAUGCCGCCGUUGAGGAGCUCGUCGUUGUGGUCGUGAAAGCCGUUGCAGCUGUAGAAGCCCCAGUGCCACUUCUGACUUGCUGAGGGCAGGUGGAAGCAGUUGCGCGGGUGCGGGGUGAACCAGUGGUCCUCGCUGCACACCUCGAAGUACUCCACCACUGUAGGGUCGUUCCCCAGCUGGAAGGCCAUGUCCCACCGCCAGAAGUUGUAGCCGGCGUACGACCACAGCAGCAGGGGGUUGCGAAUCUCCUCGCUGCUGCCCUGCCGGCGCGUGUCGCUGUGGGCAGGUCCGGGCGAGGGGGGGCUGAGGUACAUGUACAGAAGAACUACGGGGCCAUCUGCCGAUAUGCGAUACGUCCAAAGCUCACCAAGGGCCCCCCCCCCUUCGCGCCACCAAGGCGCCGUCAUGUGAACAUCAUGCACCUCGCCCAAGGUGUGUUCAGGGCCCCGAGAAAGGAGAACUCGCCGCGAUCUUGUGAAGGGAUGGAGCAGUCGAACGGCACUAGGGGGGACAAUCAACGUACAGUCCGCAGCCACGGGUUUCUGGUGAUUGCGCAACCCCCCAACUCUAACCCUGAAGUGCCCUCCUGGGAACUGGAGGACCCUCAAUACUCUGCCUCUCUCCCCUGCUCCCGUGCCUUACCGGUACUUGAGUGUGGGCGGAUAGCGACUUCGCGACUGGUGUAUGACCAUCAUGACGGAUGCCGAGUAGAUCCGGGUAACGGGGUCGUAGCCGCCGUACCGAAGGUACGGACCGUACUUAUCCUCCAGGGGUGCAGGGCCGCUGAACUGGGGGUCCACCGCGGGCGCCUUCUACACGAGCAAACGUAUUCAUGUAAAAAAUCUCAAAGUAAGUCUACUCCAGGACGAUUAACCCCGGCUGGUGUAUUUAAGGGUCAGCAAUUGGUUGGGAGUCUCUACUGGCCACCCGUAUCUUGUUCUCGCAGGUAUACGCCUGCGGCCCCUGUCCGUGCUGCCAGUCUCCUGAAACCGUCCCUCUCAGGCACCCUCUCAAGCGCAUAUCUCGGGUUGCGCAUUUCACCCUGGCACAGGGCCGCUGACCAGCCGGGGCAGGUCUCGGACCCGACUGAGCUAAUCAAGCUGCACUACCUAACAAGCUAAUGGAUUCGAACCUGCAACAACAAAUCCUCAUCCUUAAAAAGUGGGAGCUCCAUCGAUAUAAUUAUUACAUGUAUAACAUGUGUUGCGCCUACCACUCAGACGCAAGCUGUGCGGUGCGCAUUGCGCACGGAGGCGGCGACUUGGUCUGCCAUCUCUAGGCGGAACAGAGGUUUCCUCCGAUCCAAUUGCUCCCCUAAACCCCUCCGGUUUCUCGCAUUUAACACACAUUUCGCAGCACGACAUGGCUUUCACGGUCUUUCCUCCCUCCCUCCCUCCCUACCGCUGCCGCCCCGGGUGACGAUGCGGACCUCCCCCUGCUGCUGCUACUUGGCACCGUGUUGAGGCUGCCGAACUUGCUGGGACCCAGCGGACUGGACUGCAGUCGGGCCACCUCGUCGGCGGGUGGAGGGAGCCGGGAGCAUAGACCCCCAGGCGGGGGAAUCACAGGCACUACCGGGGCGCAAAGGGGUGGGUGGCAGGGUGCGGGAAGCGCGGGGAGUUCACAGCGGAAAACAACAGGACUAGAAACGGGGAUGCAUUUGGGGUUCUGGCUGCUCAUGCCGUAUUCAAAUUGUAUGUGGUCUGUUAACUCGUAGCUAGCGAACGUGGCGUAUUUAUAAUAGCCUGGGGGAAGACCAAAUCCCAGAACCCCCCGGAUACGUGAGCCCGCCCUCCACUGGCGACCCCCCGAGCCCCCAGAAAGGUCCUUUCAAGCCUCGGUCGCCUCGGUCCGACAUUGCCUCACCUCCGCCUGGUAGGCCCCCCACCAUGCCCCCUCCCAGUUGCGGCGGCGCCUGUCCGACCGAGGAUUCGGGGACAGGGGGGUAGAUACCGGGUCGCUGAGGCUGUGCGGAGGCCCCCUGAACCAACUGCAACGACUCCAAGGCCUGUUGGGCCUCGUUGACCUGCUGCUGCUGAAGCUGCUGCUGCUCCAACGUGGCACUGCCUCGGCUGCCGAAUAUUCCCAGGAUGCUCUGGCGCUCUGGCGAGGCCUGACCCGCGCCGGCGGGGGGUGAGGUGGCGCUGUUAGCGGGCUGCAGAGUGGGUGAGAUGACACCGGGUUGCUGCUGCUGCGGAGGGGAGGUGACAUUGGCGUCUGCAAGGAGGAGAAGGGGAAGCGAAGGGGGGUUAGGUAGGCGGCAGGUGUUAGGUGCUAAGGGGGGGGGGAGCAGUUCCUGCCAUCCAGCCGUGGGGGAAGGUGGGGCCAUCCCUGCGGUGGGGUCAUCCGUAGUGCCCACCGGGAGCGACUGCAUGGGUGUCGGGAUGACCUGCUUUGCCCAAGGCAGCAGCGGUCACGGCGGGCGACCAUGGCGGCCUAAUCUUAGCCACAGCGCAGGGUCAUCAUGAAUACAUGACAAUUGGACGGUCGGUGCCUUAACCUUACACCAUACUAAAUGCAUUGAAGCUGAAGCGAACGAAAUGCGUCGGACUACCAGAAUGUCCCCCAUGUCAAUAUCUUACCAGUACCCCCCGGGGACCUGGAUGACAGGGUUGGGAGUCACUAUCGGUCAACAGUUGUGUCACCAUUCGAUGGUCAACCAACCCUCCCUCAGGCACCCUCUCAAGCGCAUAUCUCGGGCUGUGCAUUUCACCCUGGCACAGGGCCGCUGACCAGCCGGGGGUUGUCCAAGCUUCACUCCAUAAAUUACUGGCGUGCCGACACGGAUUCGGAAUCUGCAACCUUGCAACUACCAAUCCUCAUCCUUAAGGAUUGUCUAUUCCGGCGACAGAAUGUCCUUCCAGUCACACACACAAACGCACGCCUUUGAGGUCCAUUCCAUGCAGGCCCCUUGGACUGCCUGGCUUCAAUUGAGGGCUCGGGCUCCUUGCAUAAUUGUAUGCAGUUGUUCCUUGGCUAACGAGUUUUUGAUCCUCAACCCCCCUCUCAAUCUCCCCCUUGCCAUGUGCAACGGCUCCUCCAGCUUCCAAAGAACCUUGCCCACCUGAUGGCUGCUUCCGUGCAAAGAUGCGCAUUAAACCCUUCAUUGGGGAGGCGGCGGCCCCAGCCGGAACCGUUUGCUGGUGUUGCAGCUGCUGGUGCUCAGGGGGCGCAGUCAGCGCAGUCACAGGCCCUGCUGCCGCCUGUUGAGGUGUUGGUAGCGCGAGCUGCGACUGCAUAUCUGCAGGUGGCGACUGCUGGAACUGUUGAGGAUAUUGUUGCGGCGGAACCAUCUGCUGCGGCGGGGGCAUCUGCUGCAGCUGGGGUUGGUAUGACAGAGCCUGGCCCAGCUGCCCCGAGCUGGGCGGGGAUGGGUACCCGCCAGGACUGCUCACACCAGCGUAAGAAUUAGAAGGGCCUGCGCCUCCUAUUGACUGUUGCGGUAACAUUACUGAGCUGCCGGGAGGCGUGUUUACUGUCAAUUUCGCCUCUGCACGUUCAGUUCGAGCACGAUGGAUCGUAGGCCAAAAUUAGUAAAUGUAGCACCAUAAGUGAUCCCUGCUCCACCUCUGUUUUGGGUGAGGAGCUUUAGGCACACUGAUUGCUUAGGUCCGUAACCGCUAUCGCGUCGCUGCCCGGAGCCUAUCCUUUUAUUGUGGAUUUGAGAUCAAAAAAAGUCCAUAUGGACAGUAAUAACCGCAAGCUUAAGUUACAAACGCGCAUUCGGCAGUGUGUGGAAUAGGUUUGUCACUUGGGAACCGUAAUAAGAUGACCCACACAUAAAACAGGUAGACAAUACCGUAUUCAUUCACGAAAAUACAUUUGCUAUGCCGUAUACAUGCUUUCCCUGUCUCUUAUGCAUGCCUUCCAUGGCAAGGCGCAAGGCCUCCCUACGCAGGAAUGGGGAUGGAGGGGUCACGGGAAAAGAGCUUUUCGGACCAAUACACAUUCGAGAUAAUCUUUUUCUUAUUUUUCACAUUUUUUACAGCUCAGCUUCCCUGUUAUGAGUGCCUGUCCAUUUGGAAGCGACGUUGCAAGCUUAAAGGUCAAGAGCGAUUAUACGCUGUUCCAAAGAGGGUAAUCAACAUCUUCCACUAUGCUAGGCGCGAGUUUCUCCAGUCGUACGAUGAUUCAAAAGUUUGCGUGCCAUGCUUAGAUUUGCGUUUGCUGUACAAUGUCGUGACCUUGAGCGGGUACAAAAUGUUGCCGCGCAGUCAGUGCUGGUAUCAAAGCUUUACACGAAACUUUCAUUUACUGAUAUAUAAGCUCGUUGGGACGCAGGUCAUUACGCCUCGCGAACCCAGCCGGUAGAACUUCUGUUAUAAGCCCUUCGUUUUCAAGUCUCCUAAGCCUAUCUUCCAACCAUGCGUGAGGUCAUCUCCAUCCACAUCGGCCAGGCCGGCAUCCAGGUGAGGCGGUAAAGAAGCCUUCACAAAGACGCGACGCGUCCCUUCGUUGGCUGAGCGGUUUACCACUGGUUGCCUCGUUUACCACUGUUAAUCAAGUCUAUUCGGUACAUUUACUUAGGGGAGUGUCCCUGCCUUCAUGUAACUUUAUAGCAUUCAACCGAGAGAUCUGCUGCUAAGCAUAUGCCGCUCACUUCUGCGGCUUGGCUUUGUACGCAGGUGGGCAAUGCCUGCUGGGAGCUUUACUGCCUUGAGCACGGCAUCCAGCCGGAUGGCCAGAUGCCUUCGGACAAGACGAUUGGCGGUGGCGACGAUGCCUUCAACACUUUCUUCUCUGAGACCGGUGCUGGCAAGCAUGUUCCACGCUGCAUUUUCCUGGACCUUGAGCCAACUGUUGUGGACGAGGUCCGCACUGGUACUUAUCGCCAGCUGUUCCAUCCCGGUAAGCAGAGCGCGCACCCAUAUGUGCCUUGCAUGUAAUGAGUUUCAUCAUCUGUUUUUCCCUGUUCACUGCACCUCACGGACAUGCAUGAUGUACUACCCAUGUUGUGCGAACAGAGCAACUGAUAUCUGGCAAGGAGGAUGCCGCCAACAACUUCGCGCGCGGCCACUACACCAUUGGCAAGGAAAUUGUGGAUCUGGCCCUGGACCGCAUCCGCAAGCUGGCGGACAACUGUACCGGUCUUCAGGGCUUCCUCGUAUUCAAUGCCGUGGGUGGUGGCACCGGCUCUGGCCUUGGCUCCCUGCUGCUGGAGCGCCUGUCCGUCGACUACGGCAAGAAGUCCAAGCUCGGCUUCACCGUGUACCCGUCGCCCCAAGUGUCGACGGCUGUCGUUGAGCCGUACAACUCCGUGCUUUCAACUCACUCGCUGCUGGAGCACACGGAUGUUGCCGUCAUGCUUGACAAUGAGGCCAUCUAUGGUGAGAGCGCCGCUUGUAUAGAAAUGUGCACAUCUCAAUUGGUGGCUCACUAUAUGCUUGAAUCAGACCAUUCAAUCACACGUAGCGUCAAAUAACAACUUACUCUUAUUUCGUCCGUCUGCAGAUAUCUGCCGUCGCAGCCUAGACAUCGAGCGCCCGACCUACACCAACCUGAACCGUCUGAUUGCUCAGGUCAUCAGUUCGCUGACGGCUUCUCUGCGCUUCGAUGGUGCCCUUAACGUCGAUGUCACUGAGUUCCAGACCAACUUGGUGCCCUACCCUCGCAUUCACUUUAUGCUCAGCUCGUACGCUCCUAUCAUUUCCGCCGAGAAGGCUUACCAUGAGCAGCUCUCGGUUGCUGAGAUUA
This 71505-nucleotide long non-coding RNA is filed under the name Volvox carteri. RNAcentral describes it as "long non-coding RNA (VCAR_LNC003018)". The record is from RNAcentral. Lineage: Eukaryota; Viridiplantae; Chlorophyta; Chlorophyceae; Chlamydomonadales; Volvocaceae.